This 59276-nucleotide long non-coding RNA is filed under the name Gossypium barbadense (sea-island cotton). RNAcentral's name for it is "long non-coding RNA (GBAR_LNC002792)". Lineage: Eukaryota; Viridiplantae; Streptophyta; Magnoliopsida; Malvales; Malvaceae. The record is from RNAcentral.
AAUGAAAAAAGACGUUAGAAACAGAAUAAGAAAGAAAAUUAACAACCAGUAAAGGAAAAAAGGCGUUAGAAAAAAAUUAAGGGGAAAUCGGAGAGAACAAAGGGAUCAACUGAAAGACAUGUAUUUUUUCAAUAUUUCCGUAAGAGAACAAAAUUUUCGAAAUUAAAAACAUUUAAGUCUCCUGUUUGGCUUCCGGGAAAAUGCAAGAUGAACAGAAUUUGCCAACUCACAGGUGAAUCAGGAAUUAUUUAAAAAGAACAAGGACUAAUGUCAAGUUUGAUACAAAUUUCCCUCGAUUUUCCUCGAUCAGAUAAACCAAACAGAAUAAAAAGAGACGAAGAAAAAACAAGAUUUUUCUAAAGAAUCAAAUUUAUAUCUUAAAAGAAAGACUAGCACUACCUCAACUCACUCAUUCGGAAGAAGCUACCGCUGAUUCAUGAACUCAAACCUUUUCUUUUCCUGUUUCGAGAGAGAGAAAGAAGCUAAUGACAAUGGAUCUUGAUUUAACAGAGUUUAUAAUAUAACAAUAUUAUAAUAUUUUUAUUUUAUUUUCAUCGGUAAAAUAAAAUAUUUAGAGGGGUAGAGUAAUUGGUUUCGUAAAUUUUAGGGGAAGGAACGGGCCUACUGGACGUACAUAAAACUAAUCAAAAGAGUAGCUAAUAAAGGAGAAAGGAACGUUAGAAAUAAAGGAAAAGUAGGAGAGAAUAUGGGAAUAAGCUGGUCAUUUCGCCACACGCCGAGUACAAUUUCAGAAUUAGUGUACUUUUCAUUUUAUUCAAUUCAGUCCCAACCUGCUUCAAAUACAUAUCUCGUGUCAACUUUUACAAGAUGAUUUGUGAGGUAUGUACAUGGUAAAGGGUGUGUCAAAUAAGGGAGUAUCCUUACCAAAAAUAAAUUAAUCUUGGAUACAUAAUGGGUUUCAUUUUAGACCAUAAAAAUUUAUUACUGACCAAUCAAAUAAGCUUUCAUCUUUCCAUCGAGAUUAGUGUAUUUCAAACGAAUUAUUUUUUCCAAAAUAUGUUGAGACCUAUAAAUUGAAAACAAGGUGAUUUAAUUCCUGAUCACACACCCAUAAAUUUUCAUUUAGAAGGAUUGACCAUCUCAGAAAUAUGCAAAAGGAAAUGAAGACAUAAAGAAAGAAAUGCAGUUCCCUUUUCAUGAAUGUCAAGACAAUAAGAGAACAGUGAAGGAUAUAACAAACCUGGUUGGCGUAACUGAUACCCAUGUUUGCCCAAGCACGCACAUAGUUUGGCUUCAAAUCUAGUGCCUAAAGAUCCAGACAUAGACCAAAAGACUAAAUUCAAUAGUACUGAAAAUAUGGCCACCACAAGCAAAGGGAAGUUUAUCAUCAAAUAAUUUUAAAUGGACAAUCUUAGUAACAGAGGCUAAACAAAUCAAACUGCAUAUGCAAGAUCUGAAUGCAUUAAAAAAAGGAAUUUGAGAGAUAUGAUCAAGGGUAUAUGUAAAUUGAGGAAGUGCGUAAUCAAAUCAUCUAAAUUAACCAAUAACUCUAACAAAUCAAAUAACUAAUUACAUGGAGCUUAAUAGAAGAGCUAGUUUGUCUUCUAAGGUCCAACUAGGUGCAACAUGUUAUUUGAAGAAUCUUUUUAGCAGCCUAAGGUUACAAAGAUGGAGCAAGUAAAUAAUUCAACCCUAUAGGAGAGCUGUAUAACACACCAAUGCAUCACUUUACCAUUGAAAGAUAAGAAAGAAGAGAAAUAGAGGAAAAUAUGAUGCAACCCAUAUGAGUUUGGCACACAGAAGAUUGACAUGUUGGGUUAUCACAUGUUUUGCAUUUCUUUAUGCCAUCCUUUCAAUUGAUUAAGCACAAGCCAAGUCCUAGGCACACUUUUUUGUAUAGAAGCAAAAAAGCCCCCUUGAUUCAAGAAGCAAAAAUUUACAUAUUCACCUUAAUUUACUCAAAAAAGUGCCUUUUUUACAUCUUGCACCUCAAAUGGUUCAGGUAGUUAUAGCACCCUUGCCGACAUUGUCAACACCUUCAUAGUUCAUUUUUUUUAUUCUGGCCUAACAUGCAAAAUAGUGAGAAACACACCAUACAAAUUGUGAUCCUUAGUAAAAUCCUAGUACUCAUAUAUUUUGAAUUUCACACAUUACAUUUAUUCCAACUUAGUAAAGAGAACCCCAAAAUUUUAGGAUAGGGAAAAAAAAAUUUUAAUUAUAAAAAAGGUAAUUAUGAAAUCAACAUAUCAGGUGGUAUACAGAUAGGCCACCACUAUUCAAGGGGGAAUCAUGAAGAGGCAACCUGUUGAUAAGCUAAUAUUGCAUCAGCACUCUGCACACUGUUGGCUUGUGUUGCACCAAGCUUGUUCCAAAGAGAAUAAUCAUUAGGUUUAAGUUUCAAAGCAGUUUUGAAAGAUGCAAUGGCCUUAUCAUUUUCACUCAACAAAUUAUACAGAACACCAAGGACUAUGUGUACAUCAACAUCCUCAGGAGACAUCUGAGCAGAUUCAUUGUAUAAUCUAGCAACCUGUAUGGCAGAAAACACUUCGAUUAACACCAGAAUAUAACAAUAACAUUUCCAAAAUGUAAUGUUAGGGAUAAGCAUCUAGUAAUUCACCGUAUGUAAAACUCUAAGUCCAAAAUAUAAUCACUGCAGUCAUGGAAAUCAUAUGCAAAAAGACACUCUUGUAAUCACAGCAUUCACAACAUAAGCAAACUAUCCCACAGUAACAUUAGAGGAAGCGGCUUACACUCAAACCAAUAAAUCCUAAAACCCUAAAGACAAAGGUGAACUAAAGAUUCAUAACUGAAAUGACUCUACGAUGAAGAAGAGGAUUUCAUAUAUUUUACAGAUCAAAUAAGCAAAAUAAAAAUCUGCAGUUCAUGCUUUGAAGGAAAUAAGUAUCAUAGUGCAUGGUUAUUCAAUUUAUUUUAGAGCUCCAAAUAAUAAUAAAAAAAAAAUACCCAGCAACAGAACAUAUCAAAAAACAAACUAAUGCAAACUACUACAAAAACAAUAAUUAUUAUUAAGGAACAAAAGGGGCAAACCUGGAAGUGGGAAGGGAAAGAAAGUUGUGAUAAGGGUUAAUAGCGAGAUUUCAAAAAGAAUGUUGGCAGAUGGCACAUCAUGCUAUCAUUCUUCAGAGUGAUACCAAAAAGAAGAAAAAAAGGGUACCUAGGUAGCAUAAGAUAAUGGUAUGAUCGUCACUGCAAUGGCUCUAGACAAUGAAACCCAGAUAACUAAGACUGCUAGGAGAUAAACAGUAAUUUAAUAUCUUCCUUAACAACUGAACCUUGGCCUGGUGAAGAAGGGAUUCAUCAAAAAUAUGCCAAUGGAAGCAUAAAAUAUAAGACUUGAACACAGGUGCCAACAACAUAAUAAAACAAAAUGCAGUCACGGAUGACUCUGAGCAGCAAGGGAAAAAAGAAAUCAACGAAUAAAUUCCAUGCUACCUCCAGACAAGUUCUACUAAGAAAGGAAACUGAAAUGAAAACCUAACUGCACUCAAGCAUUAUGGGACUUUGUUCCUUGACCUCCAUAAGAUGUCUCAAGCACGAAUCUAACGGUUUAUUGCACAUAUAAUACGCCGCAUAUUUUGCAAGUCAUGCUAUAUACUUCUUGAUUCAUUACAGACAACUUAUACAUCAGAACAUUUCAAGAUAAGAAACCACAAAGUACAGUUCCUCACCAAUAUCCUCCAAGGUCGAAGGUUCUGUCUCUGUACUCCUACUCUUUAUCUCCAUUGGAUUUACCUUCAGUCCCAUCAACCUUCUUAUAAUCGUUUGGUCUAAGAUCAGGACCAAUAUCCCUUACCCAACUUGCAGCAUAAAGACUAGAGGCCUCCUUCAAGACCUAAAGAAGGAUGACAGGUUUUUACUACUUAUAUACUAAAAAUAAAUGCCUCUUAUUCCCUAAUGCAUAGGCAAAUAAUAGGUUCUUGAGCAUUAUUUGGCAUUCAAGUGGUUAAGUUAACCAUUAAGUAAGCAGAACAGUACAUAAAAGUCAUUUGAUCAUUUCAAUAUCCCAAUGAUCUAAUUUCCACCCAGAUCACCAGCUAGCAUCUGUUCCAUUAUCCUUCUUUAAAAUUUGUUAAAUUGAACAAAAGCAAAAAAUAUAUAUAUUAUAAAAAGGAAGUGGCAAAAUCAUCAUAUUUGAGUAGAAAUUGCUAAUAGUUCAAAUGUAAAGUACUUCCAAACAUUCGUUCUUGAUUUAAAGUAAAAAACCAUGCAUUUUUUUCCUUCCAAAAAAGGUUUCAGAAUUCUAAAAUGUUGUUUCGCUUACGGUAAUAGCAACGACACAGAAAAAAAAAAAAAAAGGUUAAUUUACAAACCAAGCUCACUAUUUUACUAUGAUGGAGAAAUGAAAGAGCCAUGCUGUUUAAACUGGCAGUAAUAUCUAAACUACAAUCCAGUACUAAUAUAGCUUCUCCAUCACAUAAACCAUCAAAAAAAUACAAUUAAGGAAGGGGGGAAACCCAGAAAUCAAUAAGCAAACGAAACUCUUACUGCAGAAGAGAAAUUGGAUAAGAAAAGUACCAACAAGCGCUCGUGCCAAGUCAAUUUGCGGCGCUUUUUGAUGUGGGGCGGAUCAGGAAAUGAAGAAGGGAAAGCUAUUUCUUUGAGAUCGUAUUGAACGUAGUCAUACAGCUUCCUGCACACAACUUUUACCUUCAUUUUAGGUUGAUAUAAGAGAUACCCAACUUGAUUAAGCUAAUGAAUUAUCUUUGUAUUCCACUGUCUAAAUAUUUAGGGGAAGCAGGCUAUUAACAGGGUUCAGCGGUACUGAGGCCCGAGAGCUUUAGAUAAUCUUUUUUUAACCUAUUCAAGGUUUUCAGGAGCUAGCUCAUAUUUGGAAAGGUAAGCUGAUUAAAUUGUUUUAAAACAAUUGCUUCAAAAUUAAAUUGUUUUGUCAAAAAUAUUUUACUAAUUGUUGUAAAAUUAAAUUUGAUCCAAAGAAAAUUUACUUUAAUUUUGACAAUUUAGAAAACAACAAUCAAAUAAAACAACACACAUCAAUGUUAUUCCAAACAAAACCAUGAGAUUGUAGAGAUACCUUGGGUUGAUAUGAAUGGCCGACAUCCUCAAAAGAGAAACCUUCGUUUUCUACAUAAUUAACAAUACCAAAGCAAAAGAUGAGUAAUUUGGAUUUUUUGAAAAAUAAACCAAUAAUACGAUUCAAAUAUGAAACUUUGAAAGAAAACUCUUGUCGUAAGAUCAAAAAAGGCAAAUAUACUGUGUUCUUCACAAGAAAGAAAACAACAAGUGGUUAACAUCUUCUAAUGCAACACAAUAACCACUCGUAACUACUUUGUAAUACAAAACAACCUUUUCAGUUAAAUUGCAUCCCUAAUUCCAGCCAUGCCAUGCAUUUAGAUAUAACCUGAAUAUUUCAAUCAAAAUCCAUUUCUAAAUCAUAUAAGUACCAGCACACAAACAAUUCCAACUAAGUUCAUCGAUGAGCUCCACUCAAACUCUUUUAAAGAAAAUCUACCCCAAUCCUUACUGAUGAGUGAAAGCACCUAGCAGUGUGAAAAGAAAACCAAAUAUGCAUUGAUCCAUGGACGGACUAAUAUGCACCACCUUAGCACCAGAUAAAAUGCAAGACUUUUCACUCGAAAUAUGACCAUGUUCUUCUAGUUAAAAUUGAUGUUAAUUGAGCCCAAAGUCUCUUACUUUCGAUUCUAUUAGAAAACACACAACAAUGCCAUACAAACUGCAUUUUUCCUUGAAAAAAGAAAAUCAAACAGCAAUUGUAUAAGGAAAGUGGCCUUAAAUAUAUUUUAACUGUAGAUUAAAUGAAAACAGCCAAGUGUUGAAGUAAUUGGAAACAGCUAUUCCCUGUCCUUAAAAAUAUAAAAACUAUAGAUUAAAGGAUAUCAACCUCAUUUAACACUCAAGAUUAAACUUACCAGUAAACAGAGAGUAGGCUUCCCCUAAAAUACCUAUAUCUUGACAGUUCGGAAAAUUAGAGCAUAACUUUUUCACAUUGUCCUAAUCAAAUUUCCACACCAACCAUUAAUGAUUCGGGAAAUUUUGAAUUAAACCCAAAACACCACAAGAAGAUUGUUCAAAGAAUCAAAUUCAUGCAAACUAAUACGAUAUAAGCCGAAGUCAUUAACCAAUGGCUGCUUAAAUAGAACUCUGUUACUUGAAUCACUUACCACAAAAACAAAGCAACAUCUUCCAAAAGCUGCUUAAAAUAUGAAUUACACAAAAUCCGAAGCCACUUUUUUUCAGAUAAGAUGCUAUCCUGGAAGACAUGAGAUUCUUCAAACAGCUUCGAAUCAUUAAUAAGCUAUAUGAGAGAGCAUCAGAACCAUAUUAAACACGAGAAGCAAAAGGUCUUCCUAGAAUCAUGUAUACUCUAGGUUUGACUGCAUCACAACGAAGAUUAACUAAAAGCCGCCAAGAACUGUAUAGCAGGACAAUGCAUCAAAACUGAGUGGGCAAGGUAAAUAGAAAACUCUUUACCUUUUCGAGGCAAUGAAGCAGGAGUAUCCCUGGAGUCUGAUGCAUUAUCAAGAACAUAAGGAAGAUCUAGCAAUUCCCAGAAAGAUACAGUCUGAGGAUUAUGGGGGGAACCUACACAAGGUGAGAAAAUUUUAAUAAUUAAAAAGGAAAUUGACCAAAAAAAAAUUGCAAAAGUCAUGAAUAUUCUAGUUGCAAUUCUAAAUAAAUAAGAAUGCAUUUGCUAACCAACAAUUAAUUGAGCUAAACAAAGAUAAAAAAUGAUGGAUAGUGAUUUGGAAUGACUGUGACAGUAAUAUCGAGAUGCCUAAUCAUGACAGUGAUAAGUGGCAUAAAUAUGCAAACAUACAUGGUGAGUUUCUUAAAUAAAAAAGAUAAAACCAUUAAUUGAGAUACUUUGAGCACCUCAAAGAAGGAAAAGCAUCAAAAUAUCACCAUAUUAUUUACCAGAAAAAAGUAGUGUUUGAAACUGAAUGAGAGGGGUUGUGAGGUGGAGCUGUUUGAGAAAAUUCACAAGGUUUGGCUCCUCUGUCUUCUAUCCUGCUCUUAACCAAUUGACGACAAUCUUGCAUGUCGAGCUGUGUUCUCCUACAUAUUAGAACAGCAGUUGUCAGCUCACUAGUUCUUGUAGAGUAAUAGUACUUGCAAAAAUAGAAAAUUGCACAUUUUCAAAUAAAUAUUAGUCCACCCCACCCAAAAAAGAAAGGAGGAGCGAGAUGAGUGUCAUGGUCAAAACAACAUGGUCAAAACAAAAAUGUCAUAUAUACACACACCCAAAGUCUCCACAUCGAAAGGUCAAAGGAAAGACAGAAUUUUCAUGUUAUUGCCAGCCAUUCUUCAUCAUAUUGAACCUCAUAAGGUCCUGGAUCAGAUUCAAUAUCAACAAUCUAAAAGAUCAGAGAAAGAAUUCAUUUAUUAGCUUCCAGCAAAGACCAAAAGAAAGAACCUAAAUGAAAUGGUCAAAACUUAUAAUACAUACCUGCAAGAACUUGAGCCCUGGAAGGCAUUUAUCGAGUGCAAGAAAUUUUGUCACUUGACCACCCUCUUCAUGUUCAACAAGAGCGGUGAAUUUACAGUGCAAGUGAGCUGAAAACCAAUAUGAUGGUUUGAGUUUUUCGAGCAGCUGAGCAGCAGGCUUGCUUCCAAUAGUUCCUUGCUGGAUCUAGGAAAUAUGUUUCAACCAACAAGCAACCAGAAAUGGUCAACAAGAGUUCCUUUUCUUCAUAUGUUCUAGCUUGGGAUUUUGAUAGUUGCUUGACCAUUUCAGCUUUGAAAAUGGGGUGACUUACAAUUCCCAUAAAUAAUUGUAAAUCAAAAUCCCCAAGCUAGAACAUAUGAAGAAAAGUGGGUGACUUACAAUUCCCAUAAAUAAUUGGAAGCUUCAUGAUUUCCACCAAUAAAAAUGGUGGGAACUGGGGCAACCUCCUCACCUGAAUAGUAUUUCCAGAAUGACUUCAUCUCCCUAUAUUUUGGAGGCGCAUUGAGGCUAUCCAUAUCUCUUUCAUUCCUGACUGCCUAAGUUGCAAAAGGAAAAAAAAAUUAAGUUCAUAUAAAAAAUGAGUACUUGGAAAGUGACAAAUUUUCAUAUAAAAACAGCAAAUUGAAGGGAGAAAGUGAGGGUGCAAGAGAAAGAACCUCGAAAUCACCGCAACAAAGGAGGAGGUCGAUUUCGAUGUUGCGAGUAUUUUCGAUGUAUUUAAUGGUCUUGUAGACCUUGUCGAGAUCUCCAUGCAUGAACCCUUCCACUGCUAUUUUCAUCCUUUUGAAUUGGACACAAUAUUGUGGCAGGGUUUGAGAAAAACGCUGAAAAUCAAAAUCUCUGACAAAAGUACACAGGAAAGAAACAAAAAGAAUAAACGAGUGAAAUAUUAGAAAUAUUAGGCUAUCUGGACAGAAAUAUUAGAAAGAAAGCCAGCCGAAAAAGUUUAAAGCAUUAUCUUAAGUGAGAUAAAAGGGAGAGGAAAGAAGAGACUUUACUUUGGUCAGACCAAAGACUGCAAACCUGAACCAACAACACCCCAAACCCACACAGCUAAACACACCACACUCCAAACCAGAGAUGAAAAAAGAAAAAAGCAAAAAGACAAAUGUUGAAGCAGAUUCAUACCUGAAAUCAGUCUCCCAUGAAGCAGGGGUUACAAAAAUCGGAACAAAGAAACGGCAGAGAAAUGAACCCACUGAAAUAGAAGUAAAAAAAUCAUUGAUCGGAAAACAAAAUAGAAAUCAAAAGGCAAAGACAGACAAAGACAAAGUUCAGGAUUCAUACCCCAAAAUAAGUCCCCGAUGAAGCAGUCGGUUUCAAAAACCACAAAAAACAGUGUAAGGUGUGUGUUUUUUUUUGGCCUUUUGUUACCCAAAGCUAAAAAAAUGAGAGGGAAGAAAUUGAAAAGUGACCGAGAGAGAGAACCGGUAAAGAAAUGGGAAGCGAUUUGGAUUGAAGAGAUAUAUUUGAGGAUUUGUUAUGAAAACAGAAUAAAUGAGGAAGAAAAAGAAAACAAAAGAGGGAGACCAAGAGACAGAGAGAGAAAGAAACGGAUAAUAAAUGUGCAUAGAUUGAAGAGAUAUUUGAUAAACGGCUAACAAAUCAGUUUUGGGCCAUUUUAACGGUCACUUAAUAUUUUAGUUUGAAUCCCCCUUUAAGAUAUUAAAAACAUUCAAGUCUCCUGUUUGACUUCGGAGAAAAUGCAGGAUGAACAGAAUUUGCCAACUCACACCGAACCGGGGUCAUAAAAAAACCGAACCGGGGUAAAAAACCGAACCGGGAUCAAAAACCGAACCGGGGUCCCAAAAAACCGGAACCGGGAUAUAAAAAGAAUGGGAUAUCCCUGAGGUAAUACUGAACCGGGAUAUCUGUGGAAUGGGAUAUCCCCGGCCGGAAUAAGCAUGACAGGUAGACCGGUUCAGACAGGAAAAAAAGCUGAACCGGCCACUAAAUCACUUAAACCGGGGGCCAAAAUCUCUGAACCGGAAUAAGAACUGGUAGGAUAUCCUUGCAAUAUUCCGAGACGGAAUAUAACUACAGCAGAACACUUAAAAAUCUGACAGGAUAGAAAAUUCUUAACGACAAAACGGAAAAAUCCAAAGCAUAGUUUUCAAAUAACAUAAAAGCAGGUUAGGAUAACGAAUUAAUAUAUAUAUAAAAUUAGAUAGGUGUCAACGGUAACAUUUAUGGUGAUUAAGAUGUCAACGGUAACAUUUAUUGUGAUUAAAACAUUCUUUAAAUCAAUAAAAUUAUUUUUGGGAAAUUAACAGAUACAGAAGGCAAUUCGAAGCUUCUAUCAAGGGAUCAACUAAAAUUUGUUCAAUAUUACAGUAAGAGUACCAAAUUUUCGAAAUAAAGAACAUUGAACUCUCCUGUUUGGCUUCCGGGAAAAUGCAGGAUGAACAAAAUUUGCCAACUCAAAGGUGGAUCAGUAAUUAUUUACAAAAACAAAGAUUAAUUUCAAGUUUGAAACAAAUUUCUGUCGAUUUUCUUCAAUCAGAAACCAAACAGUAAAAUAAGAGGUGUCAGUUUAUGUCUAACACUGAUUUGUUCAAUAAUUUAAAGAGUUUUUUUUAUACACUUGGAGAGUCAUAUAACAGAUCUAUAUCCAGGUGUAUAUUACACAUGGAUCUUGAAUACAAGUUCUUAAAAAUAAAAAAGGAAAUUGGGAGCAACAUAAGUAACAUGGAGCUACCAAGUUAAAACAUACCCGAUAGCACUCACAAUACUAUUUUAGGCAUUUUGACUUCUUGUAUUUGCAUCCGCUUUUGUGCCUGGCUGAAUGAGUGUUCAUCAAGUUUUCAUAUUUUCUCAUGUCAAACACUUAAGAAAUUACACAAAUUUAAAGAGAAAAAAAAAAGUGUAAGAUUAUCAAGUUAUAAUUACAGUAACAUUAGGGGAAUCAUUAGGUGGGUUAACAAUAGGAGGAGCAAAUGCGAGAGGGUUACGCAAUUCAAUUUGAUGUCGAAUAUCAAGCACAAUAUCCUCAUAAUCUGGCGUGUUCAAACAGUUAUCACAUGCACAACAAUCCUUGCAGUAAAUCCCUGCUGCAAAGCACUCACAAUAACUGCUGAUCACAACAUACAACAAAACUCAACAGAUGUUCCAAACAUCUUCUAAACAUCUUCACUUUUUUUGAGCACCCUCUGAACAUUCGGGGUAUCAUAUUCCAAACAUCUUCUAAAUACAUGAAGAAAACUUAAAAGAAAACUAAAGAUAGCGAUCUCGGGUACAUACUUAAACCAAGUCCGAGUAACAUAGUACUUAAGUGAAAUGUUCUGUCUCGCAUGUGAACUUACAGUGUCAAACAUCUGGAUCUUCUACAGUUGCAGCGUUUACAGGCUUCAGUCUCAUCUGGGAAUGUUUCUCUAUUCCUGAAUUCAAUAAAUCCCACAGCUAAGAAAUCAAUGUGAAAAUCAUUCAAGUAAAAAAGAUUAUGUAAACUUGCCUCUCCCCUUUUGAGCUAUCUUGGGAUUUGGAAUCUAUUAACAAUCAAGUCAUUACUGGAAUCCUCGUCAAAAAGAUCUGAGAAUAGUAGGAGGUAGAGAGAAGCCCAUGCUGCAAUUAAAGCAUGGAAAGUUGAAAAUCCCCUGUACAAGAUAAGGCUAUCUAGAUCAAUGUUGCAAAGAAAUUUAGGAAAGAAAGUUAUAUUUUGAACAAUUUUUUAUACAAGAAAAAGGAAAAGAAGAAAAGAACAUAGGACAAAAUUGCACCGAUUGUUCCAUUCCACUUUUUCUUUAUCACUUAGUUUUCCAUAUCCUUUGAAACAAAAAGGGCUGAUAAAACCUGUUAUAUCAUAGACCUGCAAGAAUAAUAUCGAACAUAUUUAGAACUUAAAUAGAGGGAGAGAGACUAUCUCAAAACAGUAUUAAAAGGCUGUUACUUAGAAUCGAGGGUUAGUGUCAGAUAUAAUAUAAGGAUGCGUCCAACAUGGGUAUACUAAACCUUUUAAAGUUCUUCCAUAUAUUUAGAUCAUCAUACUUUAGAAGGAAAAAAAAAAAAAGAAGAGUCUAGGUAACAUAGUUUAAAAAGACAGAUAACUCAAUAAGUUGCAUUAAUCUCGAAAACAUUUCAACUAUCAAAAAUACCAACAAAUAGACCCAGAAAGAGAAGUGAAAUUACCUUUACCAUAUAAAAAAAAAAAAUUCUUAUGCAGCUACUCAAUUUACUUCUAAAGCUAAAGCCAACUUAUGAUAUUUAAUGAUAGAAUUGCAUUAUGUUUCCAAUGCAUGAUUCUUUUGUUUGGAAAGUUCAAAUACUCCCAAUGUAAGAAUAUCUAAAUAUGAGCAUCAGAAAUUAGAUAAAUAUGUACAUUCUGUACUCUAAAAGUGAAAUGUGAGCCGAUGUACUGAUGACAAAUCUAAUACUGCAGUUCUAGGCAGUCCUAAAUAGGCAGUCCUAAAUAGAUUAAUCUAAGGUCAAGUGGUUUAAAUCUAAUCUUCAGGGGGUUUCGAUAAUUUCCCUAAAUAGUCCACAAACUUUGGCAACUUAGAACAAACCUAAUAAACUACUCCAACUUGAGCAUGGACAGCAAAUGUAGAUAUGGACAACUUUGACCCAAAAUUCAAAGAUACAGGUCCAAAAGUGGAACCACUACCAAGGUCUUUUAGACGUCAGUGUGGAGCUGUCUUAUCCUAAGUUUCCCAAACCCUUUUAUGCUUCAUUUGAGGUUAGAAUCUCGGGAAGGCAGGUCUUUUAUGAGUGUUAGCAUAAUUUAGUUGCAUCAUUGUUGGUGCCAAACCAUUUUUUUCUCAACCAACCUAUUCUUCCUCUCUGUUUUAAGGUACUAUUCACGGUCAUUCUCUAUUUCUUAAUUGCCAAUUUCAAAGCCUAUUCCUAAAUUUUGGAUAAAAAUAAAUGGUAGAAACUGGCCGAAUAUGAUUCUAAGCAAUUUUAUACUACCAUAACUAUUACCAUUCCCAGAAAAGAAAAAAAGCUACCUAUGGAGCUAAUCUAUCAACAAGAUUUAGGAACAAAUUUAAUUAUCACGAACUAGAUAAGGCUGAGGAUGGUUUACUGAGUGCCAAGAUUAGAGUGAAUUGAAUUUAUAAAAGAUGGAAAUGAAAAAGAAGAUUAAUAAAAGCCAUUGAAUUUGACCGAAAUCUACAAAUAAGAAAGAGCUGAAAAAAGUUCCAAUCCACCAAAAAUGUCGUUGAUGAAAGCAAAAGCAUAUUGGACUACUUACUAGUUUGCAGGUGAUGAUGCCCCAAAAAGCAUGAUGCGAGCCAAUGUAUUGGGUCCUCUCUCACGGAAACUAACUUGCUACUCUAGCGUUGGUGUUUUUUGAGAUUUGGUCUCCCAAAGCCAGGAAAAAAAUGAGGAGAAAAUUGAGAAGAGAAUCUGUUCUGAAAGAAGAAUAAAAGGAGGAAGGGAGAAAAAGCAAGCAAGAGAGACAAACGGCUAAUGUAUUGGGGAAAGUUAUAGAUGGAAUACGGAGAGAUAAACGGCCAAUAAAUGGGGGUACGUGAUUGAAGAUAGGGAGAAACGGCAAUAAAUGGAAUAGGUAUGGAUUAAAAGAAACGGUUAGUAAAGGAGUAUUUAAUUUUCAAACUAUGGAAAAGUAGCAGGAUUUGUAAAGUCAGCAGAAAACGGGUAAUGGGCUCCUUUUUAAAAAUAGACUGAAUUUAACUUGAAAAUUAAAUAAGGAGCAAUUUUAAAAAAUGUAAAUAUUAAAGUUCAAAUUUUUUAUAUGUAAAUACUUUAAAUUUUAUUAGCCAUUCAUAAAUAAUUUUAAUGCUAGAAAAUCAAUAAAAUAUAUAUCUAAAAAUAUAGAGAAGAAAAUAACUUAAAAUUUUGAACUAUAAAGAGAAAUUGAUAGAAUUGUCUAUUUAAAUUGGAUCAGACAAUAUUUUACUUGAGGUGGACUUGACUUUUUAGCCUUCAAAUCUAUUUUUUUACAAUAUAAUACUAUAUUUAUUAAUUAAAAAAAGAAAAAAGGGAAACACUUCUCCUACCCAUUAUUGCCCCAAAUCUAAGAUUUUUUAUAUCUCCAACUUACAGUGACAUUGUAGAGAAUUUUUAUUUCUCCACCGUUUAUUCGUUGCUUUAUGUUUUAUGGUUCUCCAACAUACAGUUUUAAUUUUCCAUAAAUCCAUCCCAUUAAACUAUAUGAGAGAGCAUCAGCACCAUAUUAAACACGAGAAGCAAAAGGUAUUCCUAGAAUCAUGCAUACUACUGCAUCACAAUGAAGAUUAACUAAAAGCUGCUAAGUACUGUAUAAAGCGACAAUGCAUCAAAACUGAGUGGGACAAGGUAAAUAGAAAACUCUUUACCCUUUUGAGGCAAUGAAGCAGGAGUAUCCCUGGAGUCCGAUGCAUUAUCAAGAACGUAAGGAAGAUCUAGCAAUUCCAAGAAAGAUACACAAGGUGAAAAAAUUUUAAUAAUUGAAAAAGAAAUCAAGCAAAAACAAAUUGCAAAAGUUAUGAUUAUUCUAGUUGCAAAUCUAAAUAAAAAAGAAUGCAUUCGCUAACCAACAAUUAAUUGAGCUAAAAUAAGACAAAAAAUGAAGGAUAGUGUUUCGUAAUGACUGUGACAGUAAUAUCGAAAUGCCUAACCAUUAUAGUGAUAAAUGGUAUAAAUAUGCAAACAUAUAUUGUCAGUUUCUUAAAUCCAAAAGAUAGAACCAUUAAUGGAGAUACUAUUAGCACCUCAAAGAAGGAAAAGCAUCAAAAUAUCACCAUAUUAUUUACCAGAAAAAGUAGUGUUUGAAACUGAAUCAGAGGGUUUGUGAGGUGGAGCCGUUUGAGAAAAUUCACAAGGUUUGGCUCCUCUGUCUUCCAUCCUGCUCUUAACCCAUUGACGACAAUCUUGCAUGUCGAGCUGUGUUCUCCUACAUAUUAGAACAACAGUUGUCGGCUCACUAGUUCUUGUAGAGUAAUAGUACUUGCAAAAAUAGAAAAUUGCACAUUUUCAAAUAAAACAUUAGUCCACCCCACCAGAGAGAGAGAGAGUGAAAUGAGUGGCAUGGUCAAAACAAAAAUGUCAUAUAUACACACACCCAAAGCCUCCACGUCAGAAGGUCAAAGGAAAAAGACAGUUUAAUUUCCGUGUUAUUGCCAGCCAUUCUUCAUUGUACUGAACCUCAUAAGGUCCUAGAUCAGAUCAAUAUCAACAAUCUAAAAGAUCAGAGAAAGCCAGAAUUCAUUUAUUAGCUUCCAGCAAAGACCAAAAGAAAGAACCUAAAUGAAAUGGUCAGAACAUAUGAUAGAUACCUGCAAGAACUUGCGCCCUGGAAGGCAUUUAUCGAGUGCAAGAAAUUUUGUCACUCGACCACCCUCUUCAUGUUCAACAAGAGCAGUGAAUUUACAGUGCAAGUGAGCUGAAAACCAAUAUGAUGGUUUGAGUUUUUCGAACAGCUGAGCAGCAGGCUUGCUUCCAAGAGUUCCUUACUGGAUCUAGGAAAUAUGUUUCAACCAACAAGCAACCAGAAAUGGUCAACAAGAAAACUGAAUACGCUUGAUAUGAAGAUUUUCAUUCUUUCACAUAUAUGUAUUUCCACCAAAUCGAUUAUAAUUGCCUCAUCUUUGAAAUGUUUUUUGUAGCGAACAAGUUGUUGCCGGUUUCCACAAUUAGUGAUGCCGAGCAGCCAAUCGUGUCAAAGGAAAAUAUCAAUCGGUUCCUCUAGGUGCAUGAGCUUGUGAACAUCAUACUCCCGGACAUGAUACACAGACCUGAUAGUAUUGUCAUUAUAAGGUGGCCUUUCAUGGUGUCCUGCUCACGGAAAAGCUAAUUCAUUUCAGUUUCAAAGCUGCGACUCUCCACCCUAAAUAAGAAUCAAUAAAACAUAUUUGACACUCGCUUGCAGUAAAUAAACAAUCACCAUUAAACGAACUCCAGAAUAAACAUAGAAUAGACAAGUAAAAGAACUUCAUACCCAACCUAAACAAUAAUUACGCGCAUUGUAAAUUCCGAAAAGUCCACCGAUACGGAUAUUGCCAAACUUCACAACCCCGGCAAACCCCAAGAAGUAUAUAUUAGGUGCUGCCCAUCCCCCAUAAUACCUAAAGUUCACACAUUUCAAUCGCAGAAGGUAAAAUUCAAGGCCUUUUCAUAAAAGAAUCAAAAUCCCCAAGCUAGAACAUAUGAAGAAAAGGGGUGACUUACAAUUCCCAUAAAUAAUUGGAAGCUUCAUGACCCGAAUAGUAUUUCCAGAAUGACUUCAUCUCCCAAAAUUUUGGGGGCACAUUAAGGCUAUCCAUAUCUUUUUCAUUCCUGACUGCCUAAGCUGCAAAAGAAAAAAGAAAUUAAGUUCAUAUAAAAAAUAAAGUGACAAUAAUAUUGGUCUAUUUGCUCAAAAAAAUCAGCUUCCACAGCAUAUUUAAACCGCAUGCCCCUCAAAGACUCCUUCCCAGCAAUGCUCAUAUCUGCACAUUCAGCAGCAUUUAUCAUGGUGAGGCCAGUAGCAAUUGAGGUUGCCUUGCUAGGAGGGGGAUGAAUGAAAACUAGUGACUGUACAUUACCUACUCCAAGAUUGGAUGACUUCCCUGGCUUUCUUGUCCCAUAUUCUUCAAUGUGUUCAGAUUGUUCAUGACAAGCCUCAUGAAUGAUGCUAUGCAAAUUAUCUACUGAAACAAUAACCACUUCAUUUGGAUAUGUUUCUGGAACAGUUUCACAUGUAUCACUGACUUCGUCAUAUAUCAAACAACAAUAUAACACAUUGGUUAACCAACUAUUGACCUAAACAAAACAGGAUUUAUCAGGGAUAAAAGGCAAGUAUAUACCUCUGCAAGGCAGGGAGGACGAGCAUCGUAUAUGCAAGUUUUAUCUUAUUGGUGACACCAGAGAAGGAUUUAAAUGUUGCAGCUGCUUGCCUCAAAGCCGCUGAUUCUUGAGGAUGCUGCAAGGCCCACUCAAACUGCAGGCAUCAACCCAUCAGAAAAUAUUUAUAUAUUAGUAAUAAGCCAUGAGUCAGAACAGUUAUUGGAAGUAUUACAUAUAAUAAAAUCAAUUAGCUCAGAAAAUUUUAAAUUUUGGAAGCAUUCUUCACCAAUCAAGAAUGUCUCUUCGAGUGUCAAAAAGCUGCCUUUUCGGCAUUUAAAAAAAAUCCGGCAUUCUCUAUCUCUUAUCUCAUCACUAAGCAUGGACAACAUAAGACAAUUAAAUUUCACAAUAAAGUAGAUAAGAACCCAAAAAACCCCCUAAACUAAAGGUUUCCUGCCAUAGCCAAAUCUCAUCUAGACUGAGAAGAUAUUCAUCUGCAGUGGCUGGAAUAAGUUAACCAAAUACCAUAAGAAUAAAAAAGAUGAUACAAAUGCAUGAAAACUCAAGGUAGAAUAUAGCUGCUGAGCCCAACAAAAUUCCUUGUUACAACAAGCAAGCUAGGAUCCAGAGCGCAUGUAUACAAGAAAAUCAACAAGCGCUAAAUGAUGAGACUUGUGAGAUAGACCAAUUCAUAGUCAUAUAAAUGGCAUUUCAAGCAUAACCUGCCAGUUUUCUACUAAGCCCAAAAGGUGAUGCAACAGAUUCAAAUACAACCAUGUUAUAGACUAUAUAUAAAAUAUAAAUUCUUGUAGUAUUAAAGAACACAAAAACAAUGUCUUUUGGUGUAAGAAUACACAUGAACUAUCAAACUCUGACAAACUAGAGCAAAGUGGAUUACCUGCUGGUCAUAAUCAUUUUCGGCAUGGGUUAUUCCUAGUAAUCUCCAACCUUCAGCAUUCUCAGGAUUUUUCAUAACUUCAGCCUCCAGGUCAAGCACUGCUUCACUCAAAAGUCCUUUCCUCAAUAGCUCUUGACCUUCUUUUAAAGGAUUUUGAUGACCAACAUAUGGAUUCAUAUCAGAAAAAACAUAGACACCCCUUGAAGCGUCCAACCGCUGAGGAACCUACAAGUUUUCACAACCAAAACAUUCAUGUAGAAUUAAGAGAGGUUAUAAAGUGAACUUCUUCAAGGCUACCAGACUUACUCAUCAUAUGAAUUUGCCCAGCUAUCAGACGAACUAUCUCCCAAAGCCCCCUCACCAACUUGAUGACCAAAUUCUUCUGCCCGGUCAUCAACAUGCAACUUUGAGAAUUCAUUGACCCAUUGAUCAUCGACAGACUCUUGUUGCAAUCUUUCAGCACCAAAUUCAUUGGCCCAAUGGUCAGGUCCACAGAAAACCUAUUAACCAUCAAGUCAAGAACACUUAAUGAAAUGAAGAAAAUUAGAAUAUUUCAAAUAAGAAUAAGAGCUUCGCACGGUUUAAGAGUCUCGAAAUAAUACAUAACACUCAGAAUCAUUAGUUGCACGUUGUAUCCUGAAUAAACAAAUCAAAAGACCCUAGUUGUUCUCAUACAGUAGCAAACUCCUCAGCCCAUUGAUCAGGUUGAAGAAAAUCAAAGAACCACCAACCAGAGUAGCAGAUUCUGUAUAAUAAAAACAUUUAUACAAAUUACAAUGUUUUUAGCUGGUUUAAUACCAAACAGAGAUAUACAAUUACAAGAAUCAUCAGUGACAGUUUAUCUUCUAACUUAUUAUAAUCAAUAAGCUCUCACUGCUCAAUUUAGUAGCGAACUCCAUGGCCCAUUGGUUUGGCCCAUAGAAAUACUAAGAACCACCAAAACAGUGAGUAGCAUAUUUUAUAAAUAACAAAUAUAGAUAAUCUCAUAUAAGACUUACAGGUUUAGUUGAUUUAAAAGUUCAACUGAAGAUGUAAUAAUACAGAAUCAUUAGUCAUUCACACUUUAUUUGCUAAAUUAUAGUAGAUAUAUAGAUAAUAGCACUAACCAAACCAUCAUUAUCAUUUGGGACAUUCUCCAAUCAUCAAAACUAGUUUCAACCACCUAGGGUUGGUGAAUGAGAUUACUACCUAAGGUCAGUGAUGUUAGUUCCAUUUUAGUUUACGUAGGCAAGGCAGAAGAAAAGGAGGAGGAAACUGCUAAAAGGAAUUUAUGACUGAUUAUCAGGACAUAUUAAUCCAUAAGCUUCUUGAGCUUCCACAAGAUCUCUACUUGCCUCAUCAUGAGCAAAUUCAUCAGCCCAAGAAAAACCUCCAUUGUACUGUUGCUGAUAUUCUGUUGCCCAGUUCUCUGAUGCUGGUUUGACCUGAUUAUCAUCAAUGAUAAGUUCACCACGACUCAUCUUGGAUACAAAUUGAAGAAAUUAUGAAUUCUGCUAGCCCCAAUACAUACAGCACAUAAGUGCCUACAUUAACUCAUGCAUAGUAACGAUUAUAUCAUUAAGAGCUAUCUUGCCGCAUUGCAAGUAUUUAGCCAAACAGUUUUAAAUAACCCGAAACUUAGGAUCACUGUUUUGAGAGAGUGUAUGUGCAAGCAUCCUAGUCUGCUGAAUUGCAGCCAAACUUUCAAUAUUUUCCCCUCUCAUUUGAUCUACAGAUGUUAACUGAGCUUGUUCCUGUAUAUGUUAACUGAGCUUGUUCCUGUAUGUUUUAGCUCAUUAAUUGUGUUAUGCAAGAAAAGCAGGCUAAAAGGUGACACGCAUGUAAAGACUACUCAAAGCACGAGAUAGUGGCAGAAAGAAAAGGAAAGAUAAAGCCAAAUUGGAAGGUAUAUCCAUCUGCAAUAGCACAAGGAGUUAGAUACAGUUCCCUGGUAAAAACACAUUAGCAUGUCCUUUCAAAUUUGCACAUGAUGCAUUGAUAGAGAAACCUACAUAUCGAAUAAAGCAGUGAAAACAUACCACCGAAAGAAAUGAAUGGGUGACUCAGGCGUGAAAAUAAGAGUGAAGAUAAUUUCAAGAGACAUACAAAAAUUUUGCUAAAUCCCUGUUGCAAAAGAUUGACUAGAAAAAAUUAACAUGAGAAAACAUUGAUCCAUAUUUGGAGAUCAACCAAAUCCAAUCCAACCAAAUUGACUAGAAAAAAUUAAAAACCCUAUCUCAAAACUGACACAAAAGUCUAUCAAAGCUUAUUCAAACUCAAGGAAACUUUCCAAUUGCUACAUAAUUGUAAGAAACAGACUAAAAUGAAAAAGAAAGUUACAAAAAUAUGAACAAAUGAAAGAAGAUAAGAUUCACUUGAUAGCUCCAAAUUAAGUAGUUCCUGAAGUGUAAAAGACUUAGUACGAUAACAAACUGUUGAUGACCUUCUCAUCCAGGUCCAUAUGGAAUUAAUCACAAUUCUAUAAAAAUAUUUGUAAAAUAUACCAAAGAUUAAUAUCCGGAACUACUUCCAAGUACAUAAUCACAAAGCUAAUAUCCGCAAUAUAAAGAAUCUGAGUCCUAUGACUUAGAACCAAAGUCCAUAACUCCGGUGUCGGAGCCAAUAGGUAACGAAUCCACCUCUGUUGCUGAAACUUAUGGAACCAAAUGGCUUCCCGAUCCAAUCUGAAUGUUUAAAUACACCAAAACGAUUUUGAAGAACCGAAUUCUCGCAUACUUUUAACAGCUUUCAUAGUAUCAUGCCUCUCAUAUACAAUAAUCAAAUCUCCAUCUCUAAUGCGGCGAUUGAAAGAUAUCUUCAUCAAGGAAUCCAUAAGCAAUAUCCUUAAAAUACGGAAAACACAUUCAAUUGAAUACACAGAUGAUGUUGGACUAAUAUGCAAUUUCUGUACCAAAAUUUACUCCCCAAAACGAAAAUAUUUACCACAUAUCCAAAGUCCCAUUAACAAUAAACUAUCACCUAGAAUACCAGGAAGACCCGAAUUCAUUAAUAUAUAUAUGUAUAUAAAUAGGAAAAGAGUAUCACCAUUGUCAAUGAAGAUACCCAUUAUAUUUGUAGUUUGUAAAGGUCACUUUCUCAAUACAGGAAAAUUCUCAGGACAUGUAUCAUUCUUGUGAUUACAUGCCAACCCAGCUCCAUCAAAUCUCUAAACUUGUAUCUACAAUAGGUAUGCUGGAGAAGUACUCACAUAUCAGCCAUCAAGUUGAAUUUUUAUCAGUAUUGCCUUCUUGCUGUGCUUUAAAAGAAUCUUCCUUUUCCUCCAUGACCUGCUGAUACCUUCUUGAUAUCCUUCUAUGAAACUCUUAAGAGCACCUCUAUAUGCAGAAGCCCUUGUCAAGUAUAAUCUCUGUAAAGCAGGCCUCCAAGUCUCCAUCCCUCCUCUUGCAGUGAUCGCUAUUAAAUCAUUUCCAUAGACAACAUCAAGACAAUGUAAAAUUCAACAAGAUAAACUAUAAUACCAGGAAAAUAAGAAGAGAAAAGGGUGAGACGAGAGAAAUUCGGCCUAAAAAAUUGUAGUUGAAAAAGAGAAGCUGUACCAACAAGGUAAAAGAUUACAGAAUAAGUAGGAAAUUAUCAUGAGUUAUAAUAAAAGAUUACAGAAUAAGUAGGAAAUUAUCAUGAGUUAUAAAUUUUCUUUCUCAAAUCAAUUAAAGAAAUAUAUAUUAAGAUGUUCAGAAAAUACUAACAAGCAUCCCAAUUAGAUUAUUAUUAUUUUUUAAAACUAAAGUACAUAUUUUUUAAAACUAAAGUACAUAUCAAGAAACAGAAUGUCCCAGUCUGGAAUCCUAUAUGCCGGUUUGGAUCGUUUAGUGGGUACUUCGCAUUUCUAUAAAGAAUGGAAAACUAUUGAAAUAAUUAUAUAUGCAUUAUUUAAAUUUCUGCAAAACAAUUAAUUAAAAUAUUUCUAAAAAUAUUCUUAUAAAUAUUAAAUUGGAUCCGACCUGGUUUAUCAUUUAAUAUAAAGGGGUUAAUAUAAAGAACAGUUCGGUGAUUGUAAACUUUAUUGAAAAAACAAUAAUUAAAUCCAAAUAAUAUUUGUUCAUGUAUCUGUCGUUUUUUUAAACACCUACCUUUUUUAAUUUAGGUCACCUAUUUAGAAAAUCCUAAUAAUAACCAACUGAUAUAGCAUAAAACAACCACAAAGUAACUCACAGACCACAUCAAUAAAUUUCAAACACACAGCAAAAAAAAAAAAACAAGUAAAAAACCAUCCAUUUAUAAACUGUAAUCGCCGAAAACGGCUCCGUAGAUCACAAUGUUUCAGAUCCACUGGUUCCUAUCAGCAAGCGAAACAUGAAAUUUAUAUCGGUCCAACCAUAGCAUCGCCGGUCACUGCUCUUGGCUACCGGCGACGUGGCAUCGAACCCAAAAAUGAUAGAUAAAAAAAAUCCAUUCAAAAGAAAACCCUCAGAGACCCGUUUCAAAUCACUCACACAGCGGAACACGCUUCGAGGAAGCACUCGCCUGAUUUCCUGGCCAACCAUCAAACACCUAAGAACAAAUAUCAGAGGGCUGAGAAUUGGCAGUUGGGAAGACGGGUAUGUUCCUUAGCGAGUUGCCGCCGCUGAUUAAAGUGUCAUACGGCACUUCCUAUCUAUGGGAAUUCUUCCUCACUGGGAUUUCAAACUAUAAAACACUUUUUCUUCUACAUUUCAAAACAAAUUUAAACCAAAACAAAAAAACAAACAAAAAUAAAGAGUAAAAAGGAGAGUUCCGCAAAUAAACCCUAGAAUGACUUGUUCUUUUUAUUAUAUGGCGGAGAAACUUAGUAAGAUUUUAUAAAGAGCAACGGUGUUUAAAGAAACCCUAAAUCUCUAAAAUAGAAAUUUUAGAGAGAUUGAAAUUCAUCAAAUUGGGCUUAUUUUGGUGAUUUUAAAUAAAUCGAAAGGGAUUUUCAAGGCCCAAAAUGCUUGAUGUAGGAUGCUCCUACAAACUCCAUAUGCCUAAACUAUUGGUUUUAUUAAUCUGUUUCCAUCCAUUUUAAAAUAUAUAUAUAUUUAAUCUAUAAAUAUCAGAAUGUAAAAGUGAAUUUAAACAUAAUGAAAAUAUUUAUAAAAAAAAUUGUUAAAAACAUUAUUAAAAGAAUUCAAAAUUUGCUCUGUUAUCCCUAAAUUUGACAUCCUACUUUUAUUGGUUGAAAACAAUUUGGAGUAAUUCCGAGUAUAUUAAACCUUCACCGGCCAAUUCAAUCCCAAACUAGUUUAAUCCCUAUCAAAUAAUAUGAUAUUAUUACUCAUGUCUUAUUCGAUUACUUUAUAAAAAAAAAACUAAAUCCAAACGCUUAUAAAAAUUUAUAAAUUUAAUCCACAAAUUGGUACUUAAAUUAUAUAUUUUUUCUCAUCUUUAUACCUAAUCUUUUUAUAAUCUUUUUAUUUUAUUUUCAUCAAUAAAAUAAAAUAUUUAGAGAGGUUGAGUAAUUGGUUUCAUUAUUAUUAGGGGAGGGAACGGGCCUAUAUCCCUUUAGCGGAAUAAGAAAGAAUAUUAACACCAGUAAAAAUAAAAAAUCCGAACCAGAUUCAAAAUAUUUUACUAAGAAAAAAAAUAAAACGAAUAAAAAUAGUAAUUUCUAAACCUGAAAACCAAAAACCAUAAAAUAAACCAAGAAAUAGAAAUAAAAAAGCAUAAUUCUUAAAUUAAAAACAGAAAACAGAAAAUACAAUGUUGAAGCAAUGAUUCGUACCUUAUGAAGCAAGGGAUUCCAAAAAUCUCAAAAAACAGAAACGGCACAAUGUCUUUGCAGUCCUUUAGGCGUCGGUUACAAAAAAGUUAAAAAACAUUAAAAGGAAAAUUUUAAAAUGAGACAGACAAAAUAAAAGAAAGAGUAAAGAGAAAAAAAAUGGUUAGAAAAAAAAAGGAAAAUGAAAAGAGAAUAAACUAUUAAAAAAUACCUAUUAUCACAAGUCACAUUAACUGAGACUCCAAAAUCAUGCCAAUUCUCCCAGCCCAAAAAACUAGGACCAUUAUCUCGAAUAGCAAAAAACCAAUGACCCAAUAGAACUAGAACAAAACGAACAAAAAGCCAAUCCAAAAAAAACGAAACCAUCAAAUCUAAACAAACUACCCAAAACAGGAAUGAAAAUGCAAAAAGAUAAAUGAUAAGCAAAAAAACACAUAAUAGUCAAUAAAUUGACUAAAGUACAACUAUACAAACAUCAACAGAUUUGAAAAGAUGAACCAAAACAAUUUUUCAUAAUGUUGAGAACCAAAAUAGUUGCUGGGAAUUCAGAUGUUUUAAUAAUUAAACUAAUCCUUUAAUAACCAAUUCUUCACAUUCUAAGUAAAUAUAUCUUUAAUAAAAAUUAAACUCUCCAUCUCUAAUUUCUAAUUUGUAUAUUAUAAAUCGCAAAUAUAAUUAUUCUCUUCAUAAAAUCCGUUCCAUAAAAUAGAGGAUUAUCAAAAAUAUAUAUAUCUGCUCAGAAGACACGAAUUUUCUUCUCAUAGAUUUUUAAAAAAAUCUCUGAAGUCUGACAUGUGAAUUUAUUUCAUAAUUCAUCACAGCAGAAGUUUUAGAAUAAAGCAUUUUAACAAAAGAUCAAAUCAAAACAAUGUUCAAAAUUAGCUCUCAUUCUUUCUCUCAAAGUUUCUGCUCAUUUCUGCAAAUCGGAAUAGCGUAUAUUGCCCAUAUUAGGCUCAAUAAUCAUAGAGCUAAUCAAAUUAAUUUCUCAACUUGGAUACACAAAUUGAAACUUCUAAUCCAAAUAUAGAAAAAAUAUUGCAAGUUGAAUUUUGAGAUCAGAGUUUGGUAAAAAAAUUUGUCUGUCACUGUUGAAUCAGAAACACGGACCAAUUAAACCUCAUCAUAUCUCAAAAUUUUAAAGAAAUUUACAACCAAAAAAAUGGAGAAUUUUUUAAUAAAUUUCAAUAAAUAAAUAAAACAAAGGAACGAUCAUCAGACUUAAAUACAAGUAAUCAUGGAAUAAAUCCAUUCAUAUUGUUGCAGUUUUUUUUUCUCAUCAACUGAUCGAUGACAAAUACAAUACGAAGGAAAGAAAUUUUCGGGGAAAUGGAAGCCAUAAACCAUAGAUCUGAAAGCUGAAAGGAAACGAAAUGAAACCUAGUUGUGAAGAAGAGGGGAAGGUGGCGAAAGUCUGGGUUUUCAUGGUAUUUAUAGAUCUAAUUGGGGAGGUCGCGCUAUAAACACUAGAUUGCAACGGCGGCGUUAACCACUGGGACUAGAGAAUUGAAAUGGGCUGAAUUGCUUAAUAAUUGAACCAUAGACAUUACAUUUAUAAUUGUUGAUAGUUCAUCUUCGACCAUUCUCCAAUCAGCUUUUAGCUUAUGAACCACAGUUUAAGCAUAAGGCAACCACUAAGUAGCUUAUUAACAAAUUAAAAGCUAAAAAAUUAAAUAUAAAUUGAAAUAAUAGUUUUUCCUUAAAUCUUUUUGCAAUAUUUCAGAAAAGAAAUUAAAAGAAAGAGGAAAAAGAACCUGGAGUUGAGAAGAGGGUUUGGUUUUCAAAUACAAACAAUCCCAUAGAGCACUCCAUUUUCCAUAGCAGUUAUCCAAAACUACUCCUCUAUAAUACUGUUGCAAUUGAUGAACCGGAGCUGCCCAACGAAUUAUUGAAUCAAUUCAUAUAAAAAGUUGAAACUGGUAAAAAAAAAAAUAGAAAAUAGAGAGAGGGUGGAAUACAAUAGCAAAACCAGAGAGCAUCGAAGCAUUUAGUGCAGGACAAGAACCCGAUCCAAAAACCACGAAACCAUCCCAUCUAAACAAACCACCCCAAAACAGGAAUGAAAAGGCAAAAAGAAAAAUGAUAAGCAAAGAAAUACAUAGUAGUCGAUAACUGACUAAAGAACAACGAUACAAACAUCAACAGAUUUGGAAGGACGAACCAAAACAGUUUUUCUUAACGCUGAGAACCAAAACUUUUAACACUUCAGUUUACAGCAUUUAAACACUUCAAUUUGCAGCACUUUAACAUCUCAAUUAACAACAUUUAUACACCUCUAUCACAGCAAUAAAACAUCUCAUUUUCUAGCAACUAAACACUCGCUUUGGAUUUCACUCAAUAAUACUCUAAUGGACAUAUUAUAACGAGUCACUGCUUAGCCAUUUCAAGUUUCAAGAAUUCAAUAUUGUUUGGGACAUUUCGUCAAACAAUUCAUGAGUGUCCAAAUACCUAGAAGCACUGAAAGCCAAAGGAAGCGGGAAAGUACUAUAAAUGCAAAGGACAAAAAGCAAUAGAGAAAAAAAUCAAUGCCCUUGGAAACAACAGCGAAAACCUACUACUCAUUCUUUAGCAUUUUUUUUCAGUCCCAUAAAAACCAUCAACUCAAUUUCCCUUCAUGUAAGGCUAGGUAACACGGAUGAAUAUAACUCUUUAUCUUUAACCAAAAUCCGAGUAUUUCACCACAUGUAUAUAUCAAUAAUCACAAAAAACUUCCUAUUCAGCUGAUAUACAGAGAUACCAUGGGUUUACCAAAAACUUCUAAUCAAAAUCCAUUCGCACAUCAUACCCAACAGAACACGAACAAUCCCAACUAUUUUAAAGAAAAUAUACCCAAUCCUUACUAAUAAAUGCAAGCACCUAGCAGUAUGAAAAAGAAAACAUAUAUGCAUACACGAAUCUUGACAAUCUCCACCGUAUAUGAUCCUGAAACCCAAAUCCAAAAAAACCUUUGCAAUUAGCAAAUCGGUUGAAAUUCUACAAUUCUUCAAUCACUAUCAAUAUUAACAAGCAUCCCAAUUAGAUUAUUAUUAUUUUUUAAAACUAAAGUACAUAUUUUUUAAAACUAAAGUACAUAUCAAGAAACAGAAUGUCCCAGACUGGAAUCCUAUAUGCCGGUUUUGAUCGUUUAGUGGGUACUUCGCAUUUCUAUAAAGAAUGGAAAACUAUUGAUAUAAUUAUAUAUGCAUUAUUUAAAUUUCUGCAAAACAAUUAAUUAAAAUAUUUCUAAAAAUAUUCUUAUAAAUAUUAAAUUGGAUCCGACCUGGUUUAUCAUUUAAUAUAAUGGAGUUAAUAUAAAGAACGGUUCGGUGAUUGUAAACUUUAUUGAAAAACCAAUAAUUAAAUCCUAAUAAUAUUUGUUCAUGAAUCUGUCGUUUUUUUUAAACACCUACUUUUUUUAAUUUAGGUCAGCUAUUUAGAAAAUCCUAAUAAUAACCAACUGAUAUAGCAUAAAACAACCAACUAUCAAGCAACUCAUCCUUAUGACACCUUACCUUAAUUGGCACCAAUGGACACCUUUUAGAUCUAAUAACACAAGCAAUACUGUCAAGCAUUACAAGCUUCUCAACCAACUAUCAUCCUUACGACAAUUCAUAUCAUUCUAUUUAAUUUAUGGUCAUAUCAUUUCUUAGCAACUCAAACCACGUCCACAACAUCACAAAUACCACAAUUGCAUAUUUAGCCAACCUACAUUUAUAACGUUCAAGCAACUUAAAUUGCAUCAUUACAAUGACUUAUUUUAUAUCAAUAAUACAACUUAUGUUCGUGAUCAUUUGGACAGUGUAAACGAAUAUUCAGACAGCUUACAAUGACAACAUAACAUGUUUUAAAAUAACAUCAAGUGCAAUUUUGUUUUCUAGCUUAUUUUCGACUGCAUUUAAUCACCAAAAAGGAAGUGCAAUAACUAAUUUUAGACUCAUUUAUACACCAAAAUUUGCAGCACUUAAACACUUCAAUUUAAAUCAUUUAAGCACCUCAAUUUACAGCAAUUAAACACUUUAAUUUACAGCAUUUAAACACCUCAACUUACAACACUUUAACAUCCCAAUUAACAACAAUUAUACACCUCAAUCACAGCCAUAAACAUGACAGCGUUUAAAUACUUCAAUUUGCAGCACUUUAACACUUCAGUUUUCAGCAUUUAAACACUUCAAUUUGCAGCACUUUAACAUCUCAAUUAAGAACAUUUAUAAACCUCAAUCACAGCAAUAAAACAUCUCAAUUUCUAGCAACUAAACACUCGCUUUGGAUUUCACUCGAUAAUAUACUCUAACUGACAUAUUAUAACGAGUCACUGGUUAGCCAUUUCAAGUUUCAAGAAUUCAAUAUUGUUUGGGACAUUUUGUCAAACAAUUCAUAAGUGUCCAAAUACCUAGAAGCACUGAAAGCCAAAGGAAGCGGGAAAGCACUAUAAAUGCAAAGGACAAAAAGCAAUAGAGAAAAAAAUCAAUGCCCUUGGAAACAACAGCGAAAACCUACUACUCAUUCUUUAGCAUUUUUUUUCAGUCUCAUAAAAACCAUCAACUCAAUUUCCCUCCAUGUAAGGCUAGGUAACACGGAUGAAUAUAACUCUUUAUCUUUAACCAAAAUCCGAGUAUUUCACCACAUGUAUAUAUCAAUAAUCACAAAAAACUUCCUAUUCAGCUGAUAUACAGAGAUACCAUGGGUUUAUCAAAAACUUCCAAUCAAAAUCCAUUCGCACAUCAUACCCAACAGAACAGGAACAAUCCCAACUAUUUUAAAGAAAAUAUACCCAAUCCUUACUAAUAAAUGCAAGCACCUAGCAGUAUGAAAAAGAAAACAUAUAUGCAUACACGAAUCUUGACAAUCUCCUCCGUAUAUGAUCAUGAAACCCAAAUCCACAAAAAACCUUUGCAAUUAGCAAAUCGGUUGAAAUUCUACAAUUCUUCAAUCACUAUCAAUACUAACAAGCAUCCCAAUUAGAUUAUUAUUAUUUUUUAAAACUAAAGUACAUAUUUUUUAAAACUAAAGUACAUAUUUUUUAAAACUAAAGAACAUAUCAAGAAACAGAAUGUCCCAGUCUGGAAUCCUAUAUGCCGGUUUGGAUAGUUUAGUGGGUACUUCGCAUUUCUAUAAAUAAUGGAAAACUAUUGAAAUAAUUAUAUAUGCAUUAUUUAAAUUUCUGCAAAACAAUUAAUUAAAAUAUUUCUAAAAAUAUUCUUAUAAAUAUUAAAUUGGAUCCGACCUGGUUUAUCAUUUAAUAUAAAGGGGUUAAUAUAAAGAACAGUUCGGUGAUUGUAAACUUUAUUGCAAAAACAAUAAUUAAAUCCAAAUAAUAUUUGUUCAUGUAUCUGUCGUUUUUUUUAAACACCUAGUUUUUUUAAUUUAGGUCACCUAUUUAGAAAAUCCUAAUAAUAACCAACUGAUAUAGCAUAAAACAACCACAAAGUAACUCACAGACCACAUCAAUAAAUUUCAAACACACAGCAAAAAAAAAAAAACACAAGUAAAAAAGCAUAAUUCUUAAAUUAAAACAGAAAAAGCCGAAGAUAAUGUUGAAGCAAAGAUUCAUACCUGAAAUCAGUCUUCGAUGAAGCAGGGGUUACAAAAAUCGCAACAAAGAAACGGCAGAGAAAUAAUCCCACUGUAAUAUAAGUAAAAAAAAAUUGAUAUGAAACCAAAAUAAAAAUGAAAAGGCAAAGACAGACAAAGAAAAAGAUCAAGAUUCAUACCCCAAAAUCAGUCCCCGAUGAAGCAGGGGAUUUCAAAAACCACAAAAAACAGUGUAGCGAGUGUGUGUGUUUUGGCCUUUGGUUACCCAGAGCUAAAAAAAUGAGAGGAAAAAAAUUCAAAAGAGAUCGAGAGAGAGAAUCGAUAAAGAAAUGGGAGGAGAUUUGGGUUGAAGAGAUAUAUUUGAGGAUUUGUUAUGAAAGCAGAAGAAAUGAGGAAGAAAAUGAAAACAAAACAGGGAGACCGAGAGAGAUAGAAAGAAACGGCUAAUAAAUGCGUUUAUGAAGUGUUGUAGUUUAAGUGUAGGUUGAGCUUUAGGGUUUAGGGUUUAAUUUGGGUUUUUAUUUAAGUUUUGGGUUUGGUUUGAGAUUUUAAUUUUGGUUUUAGAUUAUUGAAAAUUUGUUGUGAGAAUUUUGACUCAUCACUUUAAUUUUUUUUACUUUUUUUAAAUUAAUUUCAUAUUUGACAAAAAUAAUUAUUUUUUAAAUGGCUCAAUAAUCCCUACAAUAUCAAGCCAGCAAGAAAAAAGAGAUUCUAGGAAACCUCAGACAGCCAGUCGAGUUGACAUCAAAAUAAAUUAAAUAUUCAGUCGGUAAUUCCAACUAUAAUAAUGAAAUCCUCAUUGGCUUCCACAAUCCAUCCAUUUAUAAAUUGUAAUCGCCGAAAACGGCUCCGUAGAUCACAAUGUUUCAGAUCCACUGGUUCCUAUCAGCAAGCGAAACAUGAAAUUUAUAUCGGUCCAAUCAUAGCAUCGCCGGUCACUGCUCUUGGCUACCGGCGACGUGGCAUCGGACCCAAAAAUGAUAGAUAAAAAAAAUCCAUUCAAAAGAAAACCCUCAGAGACCCGUUUCAAAUCACUCACACAGCGGAACACGCUUCGAGGAAGCACUCGCCUAAUUUCCCGGCCAACCAUCAAACACCUAAGAACAAAUAUCAGAGGGCUGAGAAUUGGCAGUUGGGAAGACGGGUAUGUUCCUUAGCGAGUUGCCGCCGCUGAUUAAAGUGUCAUACGGCACUUCCUAUCUAUGGGAAUUCUUCCUCACUGGGAUUUCAAACUAUAAAACACUUUUUCUUCUACAUUUCAAAACAAAUUUAAACCAAAACAAAAAAAAACAAAAAUAAAGAGUAAAAAAGAGAGUUCCGCAGAUAAACCCUAGAAUGACUUGUUCUUUUUAUUAUAUGGCGGAGAAACUUAGUAGGAUUUUAUAAAGAGGAACGGUGUUUAAAGAAACCCUAGAUCUCUAAAUUGAAAAUUUUAGAGAGAUUGAAAUUCAUCAAAUUGGGCUUAUUUUGGUGAUUUUAAAUAAAUCGAAAGGGAUUUUCAAGGCCCAAAAUGCUUGAUGUAGGAUGCUCCGACAAACUCCAUAUGCCUAAACUAUUGGUUUUAUUAAUCUGUUUCCAUCCAUUUUAAAAUAUAUAUAUAUUUAAUCUAUAAAUAUCAGAAUGUAAAAGUGAAUUAAAACAUAAUGAAAAUAUUUAUAAAAAAAAAUUGUUAAAAACAUUAUUAAAAGAAUUCAAAAUUUGCUCAGUUAUCCCUAAAUUUGACAUCCUACUUUUAUUGGUUGAAAACAAUUUGGAGUAAUUCCGAGUAUAUUAAACCUUCACCGGCCAAUUCAAUCCCAAACUAGUUUAAUCCCUAUCAAAUAAUAUGAUAUUAUUAUUCAUGUCUUAUUCGAUUACUUUAUAAAAAAAAAAACUAAAUCCAAACGCUUAUAAAAAUUUAUAAAUUUAAUCCACAAAUUGGUACUUAAAUUACAUAUUUUUUCUCAUCUUUAUACCUAAUCUUUUUAUAAUCUUUUUAUUUUAUUUUCAUCGAUAAAAUAAAAUAUUUAGAGAGGUUGAGUAAUUGGUUUCAUUAUUAUUAGGGGAGGGAACGGGCCUAUAUUCCUUUAGCGGAAUAAGAACGAAAAUUAACACAAAGAGUAAGAAAAAAUAUAAAACUAGAUCUUAAAUUCGAACUGCAGAAUAAGAACGAAUAUUAACACCAGUAAACUUAAAAAAUCCGAACCAGAUUCAAAAUAUUUUACUAAGAAAAAAAAUAAAACGAAUAAAAAUAGUAAUUUCUAAACCUGAAAACCAAAAACCAUAAAAUAAACCAAGAAAUAGAAAUAAAAAAGCAUAAUUCUUAAAUUAAAAACAGAAAACAGAAAAUACAAUGUUGAAGCAAUGAUUCGUACCUUAUGAAGCAAGGGAUUCCAAAAAUCUCAAAAAACAGAAACGGCACAAUGUCUUUGCAGUCCUUUAGGCGUCGGUUACAAAAAAGUUAAAAAACAUUAAAAGGAAAAUUUUAAAAUCAGACAGACAAAAUAAAAGAAAGAGUUAAGGGAAAAAAAUGGUUAGAAAAAAAAAGGAAAAUGAAAAGAGAAUAAACUAUUAAAAAAUACCUAUUAUCACAAGUCACAUUAACUGAGACUCCAAAAUCAUGCCAAUUCUCCCAGCCCAAAAAACUAGGACCAUUAUCUCGAAUAGCAAAAAACCAAUGACCCAAUAGAACUAGAACAAAACGAACAAAAAGCCAAUCCAAAAAAAACGAAACCUUCCCAUCUAAACAAACUACCCAAAACAGGAAUGAAAAUGCAAAAAGAUAAAUGGUAAGCAAAAAAACACAUAAUAGUCAAUAAAUUGACUAAAGUACAACUAUACAAACAUCAACAGAUUUGAAAAGAUGAACCAAAACAAUUUUUCAUAACGUUGAGAACCAAAAUAGUUGCUGGGAAUUGAGAUGUUUUAAUAAUUAAACUAAUCCUUUAAUAACCAAUUCUUCACAUUCUAAGUAAAUAUAUCUUUAAUAAAAAUUAAACUCUCCAUCACUAAUUUCUAAUUUGUAUAUUAUAAAUCGCAAAUAUAAUUAUUCUCUUCAUAAAAUCCGUUCCAUGAAAUAGAGGAUUAUCAAAUAUAUAUAUCUGCUCAAAAGACACGAAUUUUCUUCUCAUAGAUUUUUAAAAAAAUCUCUGAAGUCUGACAUGUGAAUUUAUUUCAUAAUUCAUCACAGCAGAAGUUUUAGAAUAAAGCAUUUUAACAAAAGAUCAAAUCAAAACAAUGUUCAAAAUUAGCUCUCAUUCUUUCUCUCAAAAUUUCUGCUCAUUUCUGCAAAUCGGAAUAGCGUAUAUUGCCCCAUAUUAGGCUCAAUAAUCAUAGAGCUAAUCAAAUUAAUUUCUCAACUUGGAUACACAAAUUGAAACUUCUAAUCCAAAAAUAGAAAAAAUAUUGCAAGUUGAAUUUUGAGAUCAGUGUUUGGUAAAAAAAUUUGUCUGUCACUGUUGAAUCAGAAACACGGACCAAUUAAACCUCAUCAUAUCUCAAAAUUUUAAAGAAAUUUACAACCAAAAAAAUGGAGAAUUUUUUAAUAAAUUUCAAUAAAUAAAUAAAACAAAGGAACGAUCAUCAGACUUAAAUACAAGUAAUCAUGGAAUAAAUCCAUUCAUAUUGUUGCAGUUUUUUUUUCUCAUCAACUGAUCGAUGACAAAUACAAUACGAAGGAAAGAAAUUUUCGGGGAAAUGAAAGCCAUAAACCAUAGAUCUGAAAGCUGAAAGGAAACGAAAUGAAACCUAGUUGUGAAGAAGAGGGGAAGGUGGCGAAAGUCUGGGUUUUCAUGGUAUUUAUAGAUCUAAUUGGGGAGGUCGCGCUAUAAACACUAGAUUGCAACGGCGGCGUUUACCACUGGGACUAGAGAAUUGAAAUGGGCUGAAUUGCUUAAUAAUUGAACCAUAGACAUUACAUUUAUAAUUGUUGAUAGUUCAUCUUCGACCAUUCUCCAAUCAGCUUUUAGCUUAUGAACCACAGUUUAAGCAUAAGGCAACCACUAAGUAGCUUAUUAACAAAUUAAAAGCUAAAAAAUUAAAUAUAAAUUGAAAUAAUAGUUUUUCCUUAAAUCUUUUUGCAAUAUUUCAGAAAAGAAAUUAAAAGAAAGAGGAAAAAGAACCUGGAGUUGAGAAGAGGGUUUGGUUUUCAAAUACAAACAAUCCCAUAGAGCACUCCAUUUUCCAUAGCAGUUAUCCAAAACUACUCCUCUAUAAUACUGUUGCAAUUGAUGAACCGGAGCUGCCCAACGAAUUAUUGAAUCAAUUCAUAUAAAAAGUUGAAAUUGGUAAAAAAAAAAUAGAAAAUAGAGAGAGGGUGGAAUACAAUAGCAAAACCAGAGAGCAUCGAAGCAUUUAGUGCAGGACAAGAACCCGAUCCAAAAACCACGAAACCAUCCCAUCUAAACAAACCACCCCAAAACAGGAAUGAAAAGGCAAAAAGAAAAAUGAUAAGCAAAAAAAUACAUAGUAGUCGAUAAACUGACUAAAGAACAACGAUACAAACAUCAACAGAUUUGGAAGGACAAACCAAAACAGUUUUUCUUAAAGCUGAGAACCAAAACUUUAACACUUCAGUUUACAGCAUUUAAACACUUCAAUUUGCAGCACUUUAACAUCUCAAUUAACAACAUUUAUACACCUCUAUCACAGCAAUAAAACAUCUCAUUUUCUAGCAACUAAACACUCGCUUUGGAUUUCACUCAAUAAUAUACUCCAAUGGACAUAUUAUAACGAGUCACUGGUUAGCCAUUUCAAGUUUCAAGAAUUCAAUAUUGUUUGGGACAUUUCGUCAAACAAUUCAUGAGUGUCCAAAUACCUAGAAGCACUGAAAGCCAAAGGAAGCGGGAAAGUACUAUAAAUGCAAAGGACAAAAAGCAAUAGAGAAAAAAAUCAAUGCCCUUGGAAACAACAGCGAAAACCUACUGCUCAUUCUUUAGCAUUUUUUUUCAGUCUCAUAAAAACCAUCAACUCAAUUUCCCUUCAUGUAAGGCUAGGUAACACGGAUGAAUAUAACCCUUUAUCUUUAACCAAAAUCCGAGUAUUUCACCACAUGUAUAUAUCAAUAAUCACAAAAAACUUCCUAUUCAGCUGAUAUACAGAGAUACCAUGGGUUUACCAAAAACUUCCAAUCAAAAUCCAUUCGCACAUCAUACCCAACAGAACACGAACAAUCCCAACUAUUUUAAAGAAAAUAUACCCAAUCCUUACUAAUAAAUGCAAGCACCUAGCAGUAUGAAAAAGAAAACAUAUAUGCAUACACGAAUCUUGACAAUCUCCACCGUAUAUGAUCAUGAAACCCAAAUCCAAAAAAAACCUUUGCAAUUAGCAAAUCGGUUGAAAUUCUACAAUUCUUCAAUCACUAUCAAUACUAACAAGCAUCCCAAUUAGAUUAUUAUUAUUUUUUAAAACUAAAGUACAUAUUUUUUAAAACUAAAGUACAUAUCAAGAAACAGAAUGUCCCAGUCUGGAAUCCUAUAUGCCGGUUUGGAUCGUUUAGUGGGUACUUCGCAUUUCUAUAAAGAAUGGAAAACUAUUGAAAUAAUUAUAUAUGCAUUAUUUAAAUUUCUGCAAAACAAUUAAUUAAAAUAUUUCUAAAAAUAUUCUUAUAAAUAUUAAAUUGGAUCCGACCUGGUUUAUCAUUUAAUAUAAAGGGGUUAAUAUAAAGAACAGUUCGGUGAUUGUAAACUUUAUUGAAAAAACAAUAAUUAAAUCCAAAUAAUAUUUGUUCAUGUAUCUGUCGUUUUUUUUAAACACCUACCUUUUUUAAUUUAGGUCACCUAUUUAGAAAAUCCUAAUAAUAACCAACUGAUAUAGCAUAAAACAACCACAAAGUAACUCACAGACCACAUCAAUAAAUUUCAAACACACAGCAAAAAAAAAACACAAGUAAAAAAGCAUAAUUCUUAAAUUAAAACAGAGAAAGCCGAAGAUAAUGUUGAAGCAAAGAUUCAUACCUGAAAUCAGUCUUCCAUGAAGCAGGGGUUACAAAAAUCGCAACAAAGAAACGGCAGAGAAAUAAUCCCACUGUAAUAUAAGUAAAAAAACAUUGAUAUGAAACCAAAAUAGAAAUGAAAAGGCAAAGACAGACAAAGACAAAGGUCGGGAUUCAUACCCCAAAAUUAGUCCCCGAUGAAGCAGGGGAUUUCAAAAACCACAAAAAACAGUGUAGCGAGUGUGUGUGUUUUGGCCUUUGGUUACCCAGAGCUAAAAAAAUGAGAGGAAAAAAAUUCAAAAGAGAUCGAGAGAGAGAAUCGAUAAAGAAAUGGGAGGAGAUUUGGGUUGAAGAGAUAUAUUUGAGGAUUUGUUAUGAAAGCAGAAGAAAUGAGGAAGAAAAUGAAAACAAAACAGGGAGACCGAGAGAGAUAGAAAGAAACGGCUAAUAAAUGGGUUUAUGUAGGGUUUAGGUUUCAAUUUGGGUUUUUAUUUGAGUUUUGGGUUCUGGUUUGAGAUUUCAAUUUUGAUUUUAGAUUAUUGAAAAUUUGUCGUCAGAAUUUUGACUCAUCACUUUAAUUUUUUUUACUUUUUUUAAAUUAAUUUCAUAUUUGACAAAAAUAAUUAUUUUUUAAACGGCUCAAUAAUUCCUACAAUAUCAAGCCAGCAAGAAAAAAGAGAUUGUAGGAAACCUCAGACAGCCAGUCGAGUUGACAUCAAAAUAAAUUAAAUAUUCAGUCGGUAAUUCCAACUAUAAUAAUGAAAUCCUCAUUGGCUUCCACAAUCCAUCCAUUUAUAAACUGUAAUCGCCGAAAACGGCUCCGUAGAUCACAAUGUUUCAGAUCCACUGGUUCCUAUCAGCAAGCGAAACAUGAAAUUUCUAUCGGUCCAAUCAUAGCAUCGCCGGUCACUGCUCUUGGCUACCGGCGACGUGGCAUCGGACCCAAAAAUGAUAGAUAAAAAAAAUCCAUUCAAAAGAAAACCCUCAGAGACCCAUUUCAAAUCACUCACACAGCGGAACACGCUUCGAGGAAGCACUCGCCUGAUUUCCCGGCCAACCAUCAAACACCUAAGAACAAAUAUCAGAGGGCUGAGAAUUGGCAGUUGGGAAGACGGGUAUGUUCCUUAGCGAGUUGCCGCCGCUGAUUAAAGUGUCAUACGGCACUUCCUAUCUAUGGGAAUUCUUCCUCACUGGGAUUUCAAACUAUAAAACACUUUUUCUUCUACAUUUCAAAACAAAUUUAAACCAAAACAAAAAAAAUACAAAAAUAAAGAGUAAAAAGGAGAGUUCCGCAGAUAAACCCUAGAAUGACUUGUUCUUUUUAUUAUAUGGCGGAGAAACUUAGUAGGAUUUUAUAAAGAGCAACGGUGUUUAAAGAAACCCUAGAUCUCUAAAUUGGAAAUUUUAGAGAGAUUGAAAUUCAUCAAAUUGGGCUUAUUUUGGUGAUUUUAAAUAAACCGAAAGGGAUUUUCAAGGCCCAAAAUGCUUGAUGUAGGAUGCUCCUACAAACUCCAUAUGCCUAAGCUAUUGGUUUUAUUAAUCUGUUUCCAUCCAUUUUAAAAUAUAUAUAUUUAAUCUAUAAAUAUCAGAAUGUAAAAAUGAAUUAAAACAUAAUGAAAAUAUUUAUAAAAAAAAAUUGUUAAAAACAUUAUUAAAAGAAUUCAAAAUUUGCUCAGUUAUCCCUAAAUUUGACAUCCUACUUUUGGUUGAAAACAAUUUGGAGUAAUUCCGAGUAUAUUAAACCUUCACCGGCCAAUUCAAUCCCAAACUAGUUUAAUCCUUAUCAAAUAAUAUGAUAUUAUUAUUCAUGUCUUAUUCGAUUACUUUAUAAAAAAAAACUAAAUCCAAACGCUUAUAAAAAUUUAUAAAUUUAAUCCUCAAAUUGGUACUUAAAUUAUAUAUUUUUUCUCAUCUUUAUACCUAAUCUUUUUAUUUUAUUUUCAUCAAUAAAAUAAAAUAUUUAGAGAGGUUGAGUAAUUGGUUUCAUUAUUAUUAGGGGAGGGAACGGGCCUAUAUCCCUUUAGCGGAAUAAGAACAAAAAUUAACACAAGGAGGAAGAAAAAAUAUAAAACUAGAUCUUAAAUUCGAACUGCAGAAUAAGAACGAAUAUUAACACCAGUAAACUUAAAAAAUCCGAACCAGAUUCAAAAUAUUUUACUAAGAAAAAAAAUAAAACGAAUAAAAAUAGUAAUUUCUAAACCUGAAAACCAAAAACCAUAAAAUAAACCAAGAAAUAGAAAUAAAAAAGCAUAAUUCUUAAAUUAAAAACAGAAAACAGAAAAUACAAUGUUGAAGCAAUGAUUCGUACCUUAUGAAGCAAGGGAUUCCAAAAAUCUCAAAAAACAGAAACGGCACAAUGUCUUUGCAGUCCUUUAGGCGUCGGUUACAAAAAAGUUAAAAAACAUUAAAAGGAAAAUUUUAAAAUGAGACAGACAAAAUAAAAGAAAGAGUAAAGGGAAAAAAAAUGGUUAGAAAAAAAAAGGAAAAUGAAAAGAGAAUAAACUAUUAAAAAAUACCUAUUAUCACAAGUCACAUUAACUGAGACUCCAAAAUCAUGCCAAUUCUCCCAGCCCAAAAAACUAGGACCAUUAUCUCGAAUAGCAAAAAACCAAUGACCCAAUAGAACUAGAACAAAACGAACAAAAAGCCAAUCCAAAAAAAACGAAACCUUCCCAUCUAAACAAACUACCCAAAACAGGAAUGAAAAUGCAAAAAGAUAAAUGAUAAGCAAAAAAACACAUAAUAGUCGAUAAAUUGACUAAAGUACAACUAUACAAACAUCAACAGAUUUGAAAAGAUGAACCAAAACAAUUUUUCAUAACGUUGAGAACCAAAAUAGUUGCUGGGAAUUGAGAUGUUUUAAUAAUUCAACUAAUCCUUUAAUAACCAAUCCUUCACAUUUUAAGUAAAUAUAUCUUUAAUAAAAAUUAAACUCUCCAUCACUAAUUUCUAAUUUGUAUAUUAUACAUCGCAAAUAUAAUUAUUCUCUUCAUAAAAUCCGUUCCAUAAAAUAGAGGAUUAUCAAAAAUAUAUAUAUCUGCUCAGAAGACACGAAUUUUCUUCUCAUAGAUUUUUAAAAAAAUCUCUGAAGUCUGACAUGUGAAUUUAUUUCAUAAUUCAUCACAGCAGAAGUUUUAGAAUAAAGCAUUUUAACAAAAGAUCAAAUCAAAACAAUGUUCAAAAUUAGCUCUCAUUCUUUCUCUCAAAAUUUCUGCUCAUUUCUGCAAAUCAAUAUUGCCCAUAUUAGGCUCAAUAAUCAUAGAGCUAAUCAAAUUAAUUUCUCAACUUGGAUACACAAAUUGAAACUUCUAAUCCAAAAAUAGAAAAAAUAUUGCAAGUUGAAUUUUGAGAUCAGAGUUUGGUAAAAAAAUUUGUCUGUCACUGUUGAAUCAGAAACACGGACCAAUUAAACCUCAUCAAAUCUCAAAAUUUUAAAGAAAUUUACAACCAAAAAAAUGGAGAAUUUUUUAAUAAAUUUCAAUAAAUAAAUAAAACAAAGGAAUGAUCAUCAGACUUAAAUACAAGUAAUCAUGGAAUAAAUCCAUUCAUAUUGUUGCAGUUUUUUUUUCUCAUCAACUGAUCGAUGACAAAUACAAUACGAAGGAAAGAAAUUUUCGGGGAAAUGAAAGCCAUAAACCAUAGAUCUGAAAGCUGAAAGGAAACGAAAUGAAACCUAGUUGUGAAGAAGAGGGGAAGGUGGCGAAAGUCUGGGUUUUCAUGGUAUUUAUAGAUCUAAUUGGGGAGGUCGCGCUAUAAACACUAGAUUGCAACGGCGGCGUUUACCACUGGGACUAGAGAAUUGAAAUGGGCUGAAUUGCUUAAUAAUUGAACCAUAGACAUUACAUUUAUAAUUGUUGAUAGUUCAUCUUCGACCAUUCUCCAAUCAGCUUUUAGCUUAUGAACCACAGUUUAAGCAUAAGGCAACCACUAAGUAGCUUAUUAACAAAUUAAAAGCUAAAAAAUUAAAUAUAAAUUGAAAUAAUAGUUUUUCCUUAAAUCUUUUUGCAAUAUUUCAGAAAAGAAAUUAAAAGAAAGAGGAAAAAGAACCUGGAGUUGAGAAGAGGGUUUGGUUUUCAAAUACAAACAAUCCCAUAGAGCACUCCAUUUUCCAUAGCAGUUAUCCAAAACUACUCCUCUAUAAUACUGUUGCAAUUGAUGAACCGGAGCUGCCCAACGAAUUAUUGAAUCAAUUCAUAUAAAAAGUUGAAAUUGGUAAAAAAAAAAAAUAGAAAAUAGAGAGAGGGUGGAAUACAAUAGCAAAACCAGAGAGCAUCGAAGCAUUUAGUGCAGGACAAGAACCCGAUCCAAAAACCACGAAACCAUCCCAUCUAAACAAACCACCCCAAAACAGGAAUGAAAAGGCAAAAAGAAAAAUGAUAAGCAAAAAAAUACAUAGUAGUCGAUAAACUGACUAAAGAACAACGAUACAAACAUCAACAGAUUUGGAAGGACAAACCAAAACAGUUUUUCUUAAAGCUGAGAACCAAAACUUUAACACUUCAGUUUACAGCAUUUAAACACUUCAAUUUGCAGCACUUUAACAUCUCAAUUAACAACAUUUAUACACCUCUAUCACAGCAAUAAAACAUCUCAUUUUCUAGCAACUAAACACUCGCUUUGGAUUUCACUCAAUAAUAUACUCCAAUGGACAUAUUAUAACGAGUCACUGGUUAGCCAUUUCAAGUUUCAAGAAUUCAAUAUUGUUUGGGACAUUUCGUCAAACAAUUCAUGAGUGUCCAAAUACCUAGAAGCACUGAAAGCCAAAGGAAGCGGGAAAGUACUAUAAAUGCAAAGGACAAAAAGCAAUAGAGAAAAAAAUCAAUGCCCUUGGAAACAACAGCGAAAACCUACUGCUCAUUCUUUAGCAUUUUUUUUCAGUCUCAUAAAAACCAUCAACUCAAUUUCCCUUCAUGUAAGGCUAGGUAACACGGAUGAAUAUAACCCUUUAUCUUUAACCAAAAUCCGAGUAUUUCACCACAUGUAUAUCAAUAAUCACAAAAAACUUCCUAUUCAGCUGAUAUACAGAGAUACCAUGGGUUUACCAAAAACUUCCAAUCAAAAUCCAUUCGCACAUCAUACCCAACAGAACACGAACAAUCCCAACUAUUUUAAAGAAAAUAUACCCAAUCCUUACUAAUAAAUGCAAGCACCUAGCAGUAUGAAAAAGAAAACAUAUAUGCAUACACGAAUCUUGACAAUCUCCACCGUAUAUGAUCAUGAAACCCAAAUCCAAAAAAAACCUUUGCAAUUAGCAAAUCGGUUGAAAUUCUACAAUUCUUCAAUCACUAUCAAUACUAACAAGCAUCCCAAUUAGAUUAUUAUUAUUUUUUAAAACUAAAGUACAUAUUUUUUAAAACUAAAGUACAUAUCAAGAAACAGAAUGUCCCAGUCUGGAAUCCUAUAUGCCGGUUUGGAUCGUUUAGUGGGUACUUCGCAUUUCUAUAAAGAAUGGAAAACUAUUGAAAUAAUUAUAUAUGCAUUAUUUAAAUUUCUGCAAAACAAUUAAUUAAAAUAUUUCUAAAAAUAUUCUUAUAAAUAUUAAAUUGGAUCCGACCUGGUUUAUCAUUUAAUAUAAAGGGGUUAAUAUAAAGAACAGUUCGGUGAUUGUAAACUUUAUUGAAAAAACAAUAAUUAAAUCCAAAUAAUAUUUGUUCAUGUAUCUGUCGUUUUUUUUAAACACCUACCUUUUUUAAUUUAGGUCACCUAUUUAGAAAAUCCUAAUAAUAACCAACUGAUAUAGCAUAAAACAACCACAAAGUAACUCACAGACCACAUCAAUAAAUUUCAAACACACAGCAAAAAAAAAACACAAGUAAAAAAGCAUAAUUCUUAAAUUAAAACAGAGAAAGCCGAAGAUAAUGUUGAAGCAAAGAUUCAUACCUGAAAUCAGUCUUCGAUGAAGCAGGGGUUACAAAAAUCGCAACAAAGAAACGGCAGAGAAAUAAUCCCACUGUAAUAUAAGUAAAAAAACAUUGAUAUGAAACCAAAAUAGAAAUGAAAAGGCAAAGACAGACAAAGACAAAGGUCGGGAUUCAUACCCCAAAAUUAGUCCCCGAUGAAGCAGGGGAUUUCAAAAACCACAAAAAACAGUGUAGCGAGUGUGUGUGUUUUGGCCUUUGGUUACCCAGAGCUAAAAAAAUGAGAGGAAAAAAAUUCAAAAGAGAUCGAGAGAGAGAAUCGAUAAAGAAAUGGGAGGAGAUUUGGGUUGAAGAGAUAUAUUUGAGGAUUUGUUAUGAAAGCAGAAGAAAUGAGGAAGAAAAUGAAAACAAAACAGGGAGACCGAGAGAGAUAGAAAGAAACGGCUAAUAAAUGGGUUUAUGUAGGGUUUAGGUUUCAAUUUGGGUUUUUAUUUGAGUUUUGGGUUCUGGUUUGAGAUUUCAAUUUUGAUUUUAGAUUAUUGAAAAUUUGUCGUCAGAAUUUUGACUCAUCACUUUAAUUUUUUUUACUUUUUUUAAAUUAAUUUCAUAUUUGACAAAAAUAAUUAUUUUUUAAACGGCUCAAUAAUUCCUACAAUAUCAAGCCAGCAAGAAAAAAGAGAUUGUAGGAAACCUCAGACAGCCAGUCGAGUUGACAUCAAAAUAAAUUAAAUAUUCAGUCGGUAAUUCCAACUAUAAUAAUGAAAUCCUCAUUGGCUUCCACAAUCCAUCCAUUUAUAAACUGUAAUCGCCGAAAACGGCUCCGUAGAUCACAAUGUUUCAGAUCCACUGGUUCCUAUCAGCAAGCGAAACAUGAAAUUUCUAUCGGUCCAAUCAUAGCAUCGCCGGUCACUGCUCUUGGCUACCGGCGACGUGGCAUCGGACCCAAAAAUGAUAGAUAAAAAAAAUCCAUUCAAAAGAAAACCCUCAGAGACCCAUUUCAAAUCACUCACACAGCGGAACACGCUUCGAGGAAGCACUCGCCUGAUUUCCCGGCCAACCAUCAAACACCUAAGAACAAAUAUCAGAGGGCUGAGAAUUGGCAGUUGGGAAGACGGGUAUGUUCCUUAGCGAGUUGCCGCCGCUGAUUAAAGUGUCAUACGGCACUUCCUAUCUAUGGGAAUUCUUCCUCACUGGGAUUUCAAACUAUAAAACACUUUUUCUUCUACAUUUCAAAACAAAUUUAAACCAAAACAAAAAAAAAUACAAAAAUAAAGAGUAAAAAGGAGAGUUCCGCAGAUAAACCCUAGAAUGACUUGUUCUUUUUAUUAUAUGGCGGAGAAACUUAGUAGGAUUUUAUAAAGAGCAACGGUGUUUAAAGAAACCCUAGAUCUCUAAAUUGGAAAUUUUAGAGAGAUUGAAAUUCAUCAAAUUGGGCUUAUUUUGGUGAUUUUAAAUAAACCGAAAGGGAUUUUCAAGGCCCAAAAUGCUUGAUGUAGGAUGCUCCUACAAACUCCAUAUGCCUAAGCUAUUGGUUUUAUUAAUCUGUUUCCAUCCAUUUUAAAAUAUAUAUAUAUUUAAUCUAUAAAUAUCAGAAUGUAAAAAUGAAUUAAAACAUAAUGAAAAUAUUUAUAAAAAAAAUUUGUUAAAAACAUUAUUAAAAGAAUUCAAAAUUUGCUCAGUUAUCCCUAAAUUUGACAUCCUACUUUUGGUUGAAAACAAUUUGGAGUAAUUCCGAGUAUAUUAAACCUUCACCGGCCAAUUCAAUCCCAAACUAGUUUAAUCCUUAUCAAAUAAUAUGAUAUUAUUAUUCAUGUCUUAUUCGAUUACUUUAUAAAAAAAAACUAAAUCCAAACGCUUAUAAAAAUUUAUAAAUUUAAUCCUCAAAUUGGUACUUAAAUUAUAUAUUUUUUCUCAUCUUUAUACCUAAUCUUUUUAUUUUAUUUUCAUCAAUAAAAUAAAAUAUUUAGAGAGGUUGAGUAAUUGGUUUCAUUAUUAUUAGGGGAGGGAACGGGCCUAUAUCCCUUUAGCGGAAUAAGAACAAAAAUUAACACAAGGAGGAAGAAAAAAUAUAAAACUAGAUCUUAAAUUCGAACUGCAGAAUAAGAACGAAUAUUAACACCAGUAAACUUAAAAAAUCCGAACCAGAUUCAAAAUAUUUUACUAAGAAAAAAAAUAAAACGAAUAAAAAUAGUAAUUUCUAAACCUGAAAACCAAAAACCAUAAAAUAAACCAAGAAAUAGAAAUAAAAAAGCAUAAUUCUUAAAUUAAAAACAGAAAACAGAAAAUACAAUGUUGAAGCAAUGAUUCGUACCUUAUGAAGCAAGGGAUUCCAAAAAUCUCAAAAAACAGAAACGGCACAAUGUCUUUGCAGUCCUUUAGGCGUCGGUUACAAAAAAGUUAAAAAACAUUAAAAGGAAAAUUUUAAAAUGAGACAGACAAAAUAAAAGAAAGAGUAAAGGGAAAAAAAAUGGUUAGAAAAAAAAAGGAAAAUGAAAAGAGAAUAAACUAUUAAAAAAUACCUAUUAUCACAAGUCACAUUAACUGAGACUCCAAAAUCAUGCCAAUUCUCCCAGCCCAAAAAACUAGGACCAUUAUCUCGAAUAGCAAAAAACCAAUGACCCAAUAGAACUAGAACAAAACGAACAAAAAGCCAAUCCAAAAAAAACGAAACCUUCCCAUCUAAACAAACUACCCAAAACAGGAAUGAAAAUGCAAAAAGAUAAAUGGUAAGCAAAAAAACACAUAAUAGUCGAUAAAUUGACUAAAGUACAACUAUACAAACAUCAACAGAUUUGAAAAGAUGAACCAAAACAAUUUUUCAUAACGUUGAGAACCAAAAUAGUUGCUGGGAAUUGAGAUGUUUUAAUAAUUCAACUAAUCCUUUAAUAACCAAUCCUUCACAUUUUAAGUAAAUAUAUCUUUAAUAAAAAUUAAACUCUCCAUCACUAAUUUCUAAUUUGUAUAUUAUACAUCGCAAAUAUAAUUAUUCUCUUCAUAAAAUCCGUUCCAUAAAAUAGAGGAUUAUCAAAAAUAUGUAUAUCUGCUCAGAAGACACGAAUUUUCUUCUCAUAGAUUUUUAAAAAAAUCUCUGAAGUCUGACAUGUGAAUUUAUUUCAUAAUUCAUCACAGCAGAAGUUUUAGAAUAAAGCAUUUUAACAAAAGAUCAAAUCAAAACAAUGUUCAAAAUUAGCUCUCAUUCUUUCUCUCAAAAUUUCUGCUCAUUUCUGCAAAUCAAUAUUGCCCAUAUUAGGCUCAAUAAUCAUAGAGCUAAUCAAAUUAAUUUCUCAACUUGGAUACACAAAUUGAAACUUCUAAUCCAAAAAUAGAAAAAAUAUUGCAAGUUGAAUUUUGAGAUCAGAGUUUGGUAAAAAAAUUUGUCUGUCACUGUUGAAUCAGAAACACGGACCAAUUAAACCUCAUCAAAUCUCAAAAUUUUAAAGAAAUUUACAACCAAAAAAAUGGAGAAUUUUUUAAUAAAUUUCAAUAAAUAAAUAAAACAAAGGAACGAUCAUCAGACUUAAAUACAAGUAAUCAUGGAAUAAAUCCAUUCAUAUUGUUGCAGUUUUUUUUUCUCAUCAACUGAUCGAUGACAAAUACAAUACGAAGGAAAGAAAUUUUCGGGGAAAUGAAAGCCAUAAACCAUAGAUCUGAAAGCUGAAAGGAAACGAAAUGAAACCUAGUUGUGAAGAAGAGGGGAAGGUGGCGAAAGUCUGGGUUUUCAUGGUAUUUAUAGAUCUAAUUGGGGAGGUCGCGCUAUAAACACUAGAUUGCAACGGCGGCGUUUACCACUGGGACUAGAGAAUUGAAAUGGGCUGAAUUGCUUAAUAAUUGAACCAUAGACAUUACAUUUAUAAUUGUUGAUAGUUCAUCUUCGACCAUUCUCCAAUCAGCUUUUAGCUUAUGAACCACAGUUUAAGCAUAAGGCAACCACUAAGUAGCUUAUUAACAAAUUAAAAGCUAAAAAAUUAAAUAUAAAUUGAAAUAAUAGUUUUUCCUUAAAUCUUUUUGCAAUAUUUCAGAAAAGAAAUUAAAAGAAAGAGGAAAAAGAACCUGGAGUUGAGAAGAGGGUUUGGUUUUCAAAUACAAACAAUCCCAUAGAGCACUCCAUUUUCCAUAGCAGUUAUCCAAAACUACUCCUCUAUAAUACUGUUGCAAUUGAUGAACCGGAGCUGCCCAACGAAUUAUUGAAUCAAUUCAUAUAAAAAGUUGAAAUUGGUAAAAAAAAAAAUAGAAAAUAGAGAGAGGGUGGAAUACAAUAGCAAAACCAGAGAGCAUCGAAGCAUUUAGUGCAGGACAAGAACCCGAUCCAAAAACCACGAAACCAUCCCAUCUAAACAAACCACCCCAAAACAGGAAUGAAAAGGCAAAAAGAAAAAUGAUAAGCAAAAAAAUACAUAGUAGUCGAUAAACUGACUAAAGAACAACGAUACAAACAUCAACAGAUUUGGAAGGACAAACCAAAACAGUUUUUCUUAAAGCUGAGAACCAAAACUUUAACACUUCAGUUUACAGCAUUUAAACACUUCAAUUUGCAGCACUUUAACAUCUCAAUUAACAACAUUUAUACACCUCUAUCACAGCAAUAAAACAUCUCAUUUUCUAGCAACUAAACACUCGCUUUGGAUUUCACUCAAUAAUAUACUCCAAUGGACAUAUUAUAACGAGUCACUGGUUAGCCAUUUCAAGUUUCAAGAAUUCAAUAUUGUUUGGGACAUUUCGUCAAACAAUUCAUGAGUGUCCAAAUACCUAGAAGCACUGAAAGCCAAAGGAAGCGGGAAAGUACUAUAAAUGCAAAGGACAAAAAGCAAUAGAGAAAAAAAUCAAUGCCCUUGGAAACAACAGCGAAAACCUACUGCUCAUUCUUUAGCAUUUUUUUUCAGUCUCAUAAAAACCAUCAACUCAAUUUCCCUUCAUGUAAGGCUAGGUAACACGGAUGAAUAUAACCCUUUAUCUUUAACCAAAAUCCGAGUAUUUCACCACAUGUAUAUAUCAAUAAUCACAAAAAACUUCCUAUUCAGCUGAUAUACAGAGAUACCAUGGGUUUACCAAAAACUUCCAAUCAAAAUCCAUUCGCACAUCAUACCCAACAGAACACGAACAAUCCCAACUAUUUUAAAGAAAAUAUACCCAAUCCUUACUAAUAAAUGCAAGCACCUAGCAGUAUGAAAAAGAAAACAUAUAUGCAUACACGAAUCUUGACAAUCUCCACCGUAUAUGAUCAUGAAACCCAAAUCCAAAAAAAACCUUUGCAAUUAGCAAAUCGGUUGAAAUUCUACAAUUCUUCAAUCACUAUCAAUACUAACAAGCAUCCCAAUUAGAUUAUUAUUAUUUUUUAAAACUAAAGUACAUAUUUUUUAAAACUAAAGUACAUAUCAAGAAACAGAAUGUCCCAGUCUGGAAUCCUAUAUGCCGGUUUGGAUCGUUUAGUGGGUACUUCGCAUUUCUAUAAAGAAUGGAAAACUAUUGAAAUAAUUAUAUAUGCAUUAUUUAAAUUUCUGCAAAACAAUUAAUUAAAAUAUUUCUAAAAAUAUUCUUAUAAAUAUUAAAUUGGAUCCGACCUGGUUUAUCAUUUAAUAUAAAGGGGUUAAUAUAAAGAACAGUUCGGUGAUUGUAAACUUUAUUGAAAAAACAAUAAUUAAAUCCAAAUAAUAUUUGUUCAUGUAUCUGUCGUUUUUUUAAACACCUACCUUUUUUAAUUUAGGUCACCUAUUUAGAAAAUCCUAAUAAUAACCAACUGAUAUAGCAUAAAACAACCACAAAGUAACUCACAGACCACAUCAAUAAAUUUCAAACACACAGCAAAAAAAAACACAAGUAAAAAAGCAUAAUUCUUAAAUUAAAACAGAGAAAGCCGAAGAUAAUGUUGAAGCAAAGAUUCAUACCUGAAAUCAGUCUUCGAUGAAGCAGGGGUUACAAAAAUCGCAACAAAGAAACGGCAGAGAAAUAAUCCCACUGUAAUAUAAGUAAAAAAACAUUGAUAUGAAACCAAAAUAGAAAUGAAAAGGCAAAGACAGACAAAGACAAAGGUCAGGAUUCAUACCCCAAAAUUAGUCCCCGAUGAAGCAGGGGAUUUCAAAAACCACAAAAAACAGUGUAGCGAGUGUGUGUGUUUUGGCCUUUGGUUACCCAGAGCUAAAAAAAUGAGAGGAAAAAAAUUCAAAAGAGAUCGAGAGAGAGAAUCGAUAAAGAAAUGGGAGGAGAUUUGGGUUGAAGAGAUAUAUUUGAGGAUUUGUUAUGAAAGCAGAAGAAAUGAGGAAGAAAAUGAAAACAAAACAGGGAGACCGAGAGAGAUAGAAAGAAACGGCUAAUAAAUGGGUUUAUGAGGGGAAGGUGGCGAAAGUCUGGGUUUUCAUGGUAUUUAUAGAUCUAAUUGGGGAGGUCGCGCAAUAAACCCUAGAUUGCAACGGCGGCAUUUACCACUGGGACUAGAGAAUUGAAAUGGGCUGAAUUGCUUAAUAGUUGAAAACGGAUCGAACAGUUUUCUUGUCCUUUAAAAUUCCAGCUCUUCCUUUAUGGGCUGAGUUUAGAUUUUGGGCUUUUUCUUUCGUUUUUUUUUUCUAACAUGUGUGGUGUAGGGGUAUUAUUGCCAAUGCAAGAGUACGUAAGUUCGAGUGUGUUGAAACAUAUUACCUUUUUAUUUGUAGGUUAAGAAAGGACUAUAAAUAAUUUUAGACAUUAUAUUAAAAAGAAUAAAUAUAAUCAAGUAAUGAAAUUGUUAAAAGAAAAUCAAAACUAUUUUUUUUAGAACAAAAGGAAUGCAAGUAAGGGAAUACAUAAGAAAUUGUUUUUCAAAAAACUGAUUAAGAUAAUUAUAAAAACAAAAAAUUCACAUCAAUUUCAUCCUAUAUAUUGAAUCUCUCCAAUGGCUAUGUGGAGAUGAUGAAGCAAACUGUCAUCAGUCGAUGUUGGCUGAAAUUUUACAAGUAGAUUAUUAACUAAAACCCCAAUUGAUUUUAACAUUUUGGUAAAGUUUCAUCUUUUAUUUUUAUAUAAUAUAUAAUAAUUAUUUAAUUUAUUUAUAUUUAAUUAUAUGUGUUUGAGAAUCAAAUUGAUAAAUUGUGUAAAUAUCAAGGACUAAAUAUGUUAUUAUACUAGUUAAAAAAGACAAUGUCAUUUAAUGGAAAGUGACUAAAAUAGAAACGAUCUAAAACGUCAGUGAGUACAACGUCGUAGAACAGCUGCACAAACAGCCAGCACGCAUAUCUGUAUUAGCUUUGCUUCAGAGUUCGGAGUACAUAAAAAUACACUAAUGAAGGUUUUAAAGGAGACGUCUGUGGCCAAUGAUAUCUCAAUUAGUACAUUAGACCGGCUAGUCAACAAUAUAAGUGCUGAUAACUUCAUUUACUUCAAUGAUAAUGAAAUUCCGCCAGGGGGCAGAGGAUCCACUAAAGCUUUACAUAUUACUACUUGAUGCAAAUGGUACACAUUGCUAGGGGUAUUGGUAAACAAUGGGUCAGCAUUAAAUGUAUUGCCUUUAUCCAUAUUGAACAGAUUACCUGUGGAUAGUUCACACAUGAAAGAGUGCCAGAACAUAGUGAAGGCAUUUGAUGGCACGCAAAGAAGAGUCAUGAGGAGAAUUGAGAUACCCUUAUUAAUUGGCCCAACUACUUAUGAGGUGGAUUUCUUGGUCAUGGAUAUUAAGCCCUCAUAUAACUGCUUACUAGAAAGACCAUGGAUACAUUCAGCAGGGCUAGUGCCUUCAUCCCUACAUCAGAAGUUGAAGCUAGUAUCAGAAGGGCGGCUGGUGACAAUAAACGCCGAAGAGGAUAUCAUCGCGGCUGUGACUAGCGAUGCGCCGUAUCUAGAGACGAGUGACGAGGAAAUUGAAUGUUCUUUUCAGUCUUUGGAGUUCGUGAAUGCAACCUUCAUUACGAAAGAAAAUAGAAUCCCGGUGUCGAAAAUCUCUAAAACCAUAAGAAUGGGAUUACAUAUGAUGGUAGGAAAAGGAGCUUUGCCAGGAAGAGGGCUUGAAAAACACCUUCAGUGCAGAAUAGUGGCCCCGGUACUGAAAGAAAAGCAGGAUCAUUUUGGCUUAGGAUUCAAGCCAGAUUUAAGGCAAAGAAUAAAAGAUUUGGAAAGGAGGCAAGAAAGAAGAAGGGCUCGUUUGAGUGGUGAAGAAAUUAAGUGGGAACUCAUGAUAAUUCCACAUAUAUCUAAGUCCUUUGUGUCGAGAGGGGUUAUUCAUGCUGAGCAGAAAGCGCGAAAGAAGGGAGACAUCGUAGCAAUGUGGGACUUGCAGUACUGGACUUGCAAGGGGAGAUUUUGAUUUCUGGAAAUGGAAUUGAAGUUGUACAGAUUAUGAAAACUUACAUUCAAUUCAUCACCUUUUGAUUAAAACCAACGCCAAACCAAACCCACCUUCACCCAAAUCCUAUACAUCAAUCAAAAUAUAAAAUAAAUAACCCAAAACCAUAAUAAUCCCAUAAGAAAAACCAAGUUUUGUUUUUGGAAAAAAGCUUUAAAAAAUGAAAAUAUUAUGAAUUGAAUAAUAAACCCCGAAUUUCAUUCAACAACUUUCAAUCAAAGGUAGCACCAAGCCAAACGCUCCCUCGCUCAAAUCCCACAACAUCCAACAAAGUCAGAAUAAUAAAACAAUAACCCAAAACUAGAAUAAUCUCAUAUUAAAAACCAAACGAACUUGAAACAACUAAAAAAACAAAAAUAAACAAUGUCUCACCCACUGUCGAUUAACGAAGACUUUGUUGGAAAGGUGCAUUCUUUGACAAUGCCCUUAUAGUGGAAGAAGAUGUUGAAUUCUAGGUUUCUGGUUAGAAAUUCAAUGGGUUUGGGGGAGUUCCUUGGAAAUCUAGUCUGAUCAAAGGGAAGAGGGGAAGGAGAGGAUCAUUUCGGAAAGGAGCAGUAAGCCAGAAAAUCACUGGCGUCGGUAGAACAAAGAUACGGCUAGGAGAUUUGAGGUUGAGAGAGUUUAGUAUUGUAUUUUGUUUAAGAAUUGAUUUAGUUAGAAGAGAUAAUAUGAUUGUUUAGUUUUUAAAGCUAAUGAUAAAGUUUAGGGAUAAUGCAAGACAAAUGGUUUAAAAACAAUUAGAAAAUAAAUUAAAUACUAGACUAGCAGCUAUAACUAUUAAAUGUAGAAAUUUGAUUCGACAAUAGAAAUACAAUAAUACAAAUUGAAAUAAACCAAAUAAAAAUAAUAAUAGAAAAGGUAAAGACAAGGCUCCCUCCCUGUGUAUGGAUGGCUAUAUCAUGGUAUAAUUAGAGAAACGAAUCAUCAAUCUGUGCAUGGUUUCUGGAUAAAACUUUCUUGUAAAUAAAUAACAAGGUCUCUUCAUUGAAUUCCACAAGCAUGGCCCAUUUAUCCCUCUCCUCUGCACCAACAAACACCACACCUAUUUGUUCCUUCUUUCUUCCAAACAAACAUGCAUAAAAUCUCAAAUUCAAAACAAAAUACAGUAGGAAACAUUUUUUGACCUUUGGACUACUUGUGAAAUGUAUGCUUUCCUCAAUGAAUUGCACAGUAAAUCAAACACCAGUUUCAAAGUUUGUACCAACAAACUCACAUUUGGGAAUGUAUAUAUAGAUGGACGUACCGUAAGGUUCUUGAGGAACUCAAAUGUUAUAUCUUGGGCCCUAAAUGCUCUAGGAUGUCACUUCCCUUUUGACCAAUCUACAUACGUUACUGACCUAUUUGCGACUCCACUAGAAUUAGUCAUUUGUUGUAUAUAAAAAUAAUUGUUUUCACGACGUCACUUCUAUAUAUAGUAAGUAUUGAUACCAUAAAAAAAAGUCUGAGGUACCAACAUUAAAAAAAGUUGGCAAAUAAUUCCUGUCUGAAUAGCAAUUGCGUCUAUCCAUAUGUGGCUGACACAACAACAUAAGAUUUUUGUUAACGAAGCGGCACCCAUCAGGAUUUAUUUUUGAUUUAAAUUAAAAAAUGAAAAGUAUUACAAGUUUAAUAAUAGAAACUGAUAGGCAAGCAACAUUCUAAGGUUAUAUAGUUACUUCAUUAUAGCAACAAAGUAGCUUUGCUCAACAAUUACCUUGCAAUAAUUCUUGAAUUUUCUGUAAUAUAGGUUGUUCGCCAUAACUAUUAUGGCAUGCUGACACUUCAUGUUGAACCACUAAAAUGAAAUAUGAAUCAAAACCAACUAAAAGUAUAAGAAACAUCAUUGCCAUGUUUUAUUUUUUUGCAAAAAAAAAAACUAUUACAAAAGGUCCAUGAAAACAUAUUCAGGCAAAACCUUACAAUCUCUUGCCAGAAAAUAUUGUUAAAACUAAACACUUACAGCUAUUUAUCUACUCGGCACAAUAAGCUACUAUGGCAGUUAAUCAUAAUAAUUUUUAAAAGACAGGGAAUAGGACUUUACAACUACACAAAUCCAUGAAAAGACAUCCACCAUAGUCAAUUGUCAUAUUCUACUUACAAAAUACAUAGGUAGUUAUCUUAGAAACUAUUUGCUGGCUUAAAUUAUAAAUUUAGAAGUUGCAUGCCAUAAAAUCAUAGAAAUUAAGACAUGAUCAUUUCAUUAUGCACAACGCAAACCUUACCCUAACAAGUAAUUGCACAACUAUCUAUGGUUUGGACUAUAAAUUUUACCGAGAGAAAAGUAGAGUAAUACAUGACGGCAUCCUUACUAAAAAGGUAACUAUGAGGAAUAUAAGAUCCACUAUAAGGUGCUUUUUAUUAUUAUAAUAAUGAUGAUUAAAAUUUAGAUAAGGAUUAUGUAUUAGAUAAAACCAAUGAUGUGGACAUAAAUGGUUGAUGCAUAAAAUAUAGUUUAGAAAAGGAUUUCUAAUAAAAAUAUGUAUUACAUCUUUUGUUUAAGCCUAAACAAUCGAGCUUGUUCUUAUAUUUCUCUCUUCUUUUAUGUUUCCCUCUCUAAACUUUUUCUUUGAUUCUUCUAUCCCUUCCAAGAAUUUGGUGUCAAGAACCUUAUAUGAUCUUAAAGGGCUUACAAAUCUUUAAGAGUUGAGUAAGAAGUUAGCUAGCAUUUGUCAACACCAAAUGGUUUAAGAUUGUUGAUUUUUGCCUCCACCACCUACCUUUUUAAGUGAAAACAAAUAAAUAUAGGCUGCCAACAUGAAGACUUAUCUGAAUGUUUUUUAUCUUUACAAUGUGGUUGGAAAUGAAAGAAAGAACACUAACUUUUGGUCAAUCCAUUUAUAACUCAGACAAAGAAUCAUAGCAAGAAAAGGAAAAGAGAUAUAAAGUCAAAAGUUGUAACAAAUCAUCCGUUCUAAAGAAAAAUUUAAUUAGAAUCAUAAUAUGACAUGUUCAUGGAGGACUUCCAUGGUAAUAACUAGACAAAUACAAGUGCUUAACCUCAAAAGAUAAUUUUAAGUUUUAAAGACGAAAAAGACUGAAACUUUGAAAGAGUACAAAGACAGACUCAUAAAUAUAAUGAAGAAGCUCAAAUUACUAGGGAGAGGAGAUGAAAGACAAAAGAGUUGUAAACUUGAAGACAUCAAAUACUUGACUAAGAUUUUUUUUGGCAAAACUAAUUUACGCUUUUGGGGUCGAGAGUAAAGGACGGUUAUUAUGCAAAGGAUUCAAUAAAAGGUGUAUUUAUGGCCAAAGAGAAAGUCAAAAUGCAACAUGAGUACAAGAACGAAAAAUCAAGAGAGAGAGGAAACAAGAAUAAUGUAAAAAAUGGAAAUAAAGGAAAAUUUACGUCAUGUUCACAUUGCAAAAAAAGGAAAAACAUCUGGAGAAAUAUUGCUACUAAAAACUAGACAUAUAAUGCAAGUCUUGCAAACAACUAGGCCACAUGGAGAAAGUUUGGAAGAAAAACCAACAACAAGAUCAACAAGCUAAAGGAUCAAAUGUCCUACAACAAUAGGAUGAUGAAGUUUUGUUUCUUCUUGCUAUGCAAUAAUGGCUCAUUGAUAAUAAAAGCAUUCAUUAUAUGACAUCAAAUAUCUACUUAUUCGAGGAGUUGGACAAAACUUGUUCCAAAGCCAAAAUUGGUAAUGAUAAGUUCAUAUAAGUUAAAAGAGAUGAGCUAUGAUAGUCAAGACACCCUAAGGUAAAACACCAAUUAAGAUGUUUUAUUUGAAUAAAUAGAUAAAAAUGUCCUCAAUGUAGGACAAAUACUAGAAAAGAAUUAAUUUUUGGUGUUUAAGAUAAAACAUGCAUAAUUUAUUAUCCAUCAGGCGAUGAACUCUUAACUGUUAGUGUAACAGCCUAAUUUUCAGUGGUAUCGGAACAGUGAUUCGAGAUCACUAAAUCUGACAAAUGAGUAUGAAAUAUUAUUAAUUUAGUAAGUAUAAGUUAAAUGUGAAGCUAGGAAAAAUUUUGAAACAGUGAAUAGUGUACUAAAAAUAAAUAUUAAAAUAAUUAGAAUAAAAAACAAGGUAUCGAGACCUCGGGAAUUUUAAAUCGAGCCAUAAAUAUUUUUAUAAAUAUUUAUAGAGUGUUAAUAAGUUAGUAUUAAAGUUUCGUCAAGAAAUUUUAAAGUUCUGAUAGUUAAUUGAACAAAAAGGACUAAAUUGUAUCAAAUGCAAAAUUGUGAGAAAUGAUUAAAUAGCUUAAAUGAUAAAAGAAAGAGGGUUUAAAAGACAAAUAGACCCAAUAUAUCUUUGGGCUGAACGGCAAGGGCAUGAAAUCAGCAAGAAAAUAAGGAGAAUUAAGGGAAAAAUUGGAAAAUUGCAAAAUUUACUUAAUAAAGCUAGGACUAAAGUGGAAUUAUCUAGAUUUCUCUUUAUUUUUCUGCAUUCUCAUCGGCAAAAACACCAUGAAAGAGUUCUCUCAAGCUGGUUUUUCAUAUUUUUACUGCAAGUAAGUUCAAUUCUUGAUUAUUUCUUGAAAUUUUUAUGUUUUCGUGACUUUUACAACUAGGUCCACUUGUUGAAUUCAUUAGUUUUUUUAUUCUAUGAAAGAAAUUGAAAGUUUCUAUGAAUAUGUAAUGGAAGUAUAUGAUGAUUUGGCAUGGAAUUAGAGCUUUAAAUUGUUUAUAUGCUGAUUUUAUUGAAAGAAUUGAAUAGAAAGUGAAUGUUUGAGACCUAAUUGUAAAAGAGUUUGAAGUUAGAGUUUUAUGUAAAAAAUUCUGAAUUUAAAUAGUUAUGAAAUAACUUAUAAUGUCUAGGAAAAGUAUUAAUUGAGAAAAUUAUCUUAAUUUAGGGGUUAAUUGAGCAAGGACUGAAUUGUAUGAAUUGUGAAAUUUGGGGCAAAAUGGAAAUCAACAUUUUGCACUAAAACUGUUUUGGACAGCAACAGUGGUCUAACUUUGAAAAAUCACCAAAAAUUGUAGAAAUGGAAUUAGAGGAUGAAUAAAAUAUGAAAUUAAAGCUUAUUGAGUCUAGUUUCUUAUAAAAGAAAAGAUGUAAGAAAUGGAAUUGUAAAUCAUGAGAUAUGAUAAAUUUUUUGAGGUAAGAUCAGAAUGAUUUCGGGUUCCCCUGUUUUGACUUUGUAAAAUAAUAAAAAAUUGGAUAAAAAUAAUUAGGGGAUUAUACUUAUAUUUUUAGAAUCCUGAAUGAGUCUCUUUGCAAGAGAAUCAAACGGUAACAUCAUUCAAAUUCUGUACGAGGAGAUAAUUAAUUUUUAGUCAAGAAGGGUCGGAACUGUCAGAUAGCAGAACUGGGGAGAUUUCAAUGAAUAAACUGUAUUAAUUGGCCCAGCCAAAAAUUAUGAAAUCUUUAUGGUAAUAAGAUAUGUGAGUCUAGUUUCAGGGAAAAUUAGCGGAUCUUAAUUUGGAGUUCCGUAUCUUCAGAUAUAAAUAAUUCAGUGACUAUGACACGGGUGGAUAGCUUGAAUAUUCACAUAAGUAAUUAGUGAAAAUUAUGGAUAAGGUUACUUACAAGUGUGUUAUUUAUACCAAGGAUGUGGAUGGAGAGGAUGAGGAGGAAAAAUAUAUGAAUGACUCAUGUAUAAAUUGAUCACAUGCCCGAUUAUAAUCGAUAAGUGUUGGAUUAGAAAUGAUAUAAUGUUUUAUUUGGAAUAUUUAUUAUGAAAUUAUGAUUAUCGUUAUAAUACAAAAAUUGAACUUGUGAGUUUAUGUGGCUAAAUUUUAGUGAUUAUUUGUUAAUUUUAUGAAUUUCAUGAUGUGUUACUUCAUAUGUAUCGAUGAUAAAAUCGUGAAUAAUGUAUGAGCAUGAAAAUUGAAUAAAUGGUCAAAUUGAGCAUUUCAGUUCAGUGACAAGAUGAAUUGAAGGAAAAGACCAUAGUUGGACCAUGGCAACAAGUGAUAAGUGAUAGCUUCGACUUAUCUGAUCAAGGACAAAUGAAAGUGAUAAGUGAUAGCUUCGGCUACACUUAUCUGAUCAAGGACAAAUGAAAGUGAUAAGUGAUAGCUUCGGCUAUACUUAUCUGAUCAAGGACAAAUGACAAGUGAAAAGUGAUAGCUUCUGCUACCUGAUCAGUGAAAAGUGGUAGCUUCGAUUACCUGAUCAGUGAAAAGUGGUAGCUUUUGUUACCUGAUCAGUGAAAAGUGGUAGCUCCGGCUACCUAAUCAGUGAAAAGUAGUAGCUUCGACUACCUGAUCAGUGAAAAGUGGUAGCUCCGGCUACCUAAUCAGUGAAAAUUGGUAGCUCCGGCUACCUGAUCAGUGAAUUGUGGUAGCUUCGGCUACAAGUGACAAGUGAUUUCCGUAUAAGAUCAUAUCUGGGCUAUGGCAUCGAUAUAUGAAUAUGUGUAAGACCAUAGCUGGGCUAUGGCAUCAUUAUGUGAAGAUGUGUAAGACCAUAAUUGAACUAUGACAUCGAUAAAACGAAGUACUCAAUUCCGUAAGACGUUCACUAAUUUGACAAAGUUUGGUAAGUGUUACAUGGAAUUAUGUGAUACAAGGAAGUACGAGUUGAUAAUAUAUGAGUGUAGAACUUGGUUAAUAAAUGAAUUCAUUUGUGAUUAUAUAAUUAUUCAUCUUAAACGUACUAUCCAUAUGUAUUGAUAAUUCAAAUGUUUUAAUGAAUAAAGUUCCGACAUGAAAUAAAUUGAACACGAGACUAAUAAUUAUGAAAUUGAACUCGAAAUUCAUGAAAAUGACAGUUAUUGAUAUAUGGAUAUAUGAAUAUGGAAAAUGUUUGAUAAAUGUGUUUAUUCAUAAUUAUGGAAUUAUAUACCUCAUGUGUACUAUUUGCAUAAAGAUGAUAUUUCAUAUACUUUGGUUAUUUAAGCUCAAAUAUGAAAUAGUAUGAAAUCAAGAUAAGUUGUUAUGAAAACAUAUUUAGAUUACAGAGAUAUUGCUGAUAUAUGUUGUAUAAUUACAUAACGUGAAAUUGUGUAUAUAUAUGAGAAAUUUAUUGAGAAUUGAGGCCAUACACAUUUCUUGUUAUUUAUAUGAAGUGUACGACUGUCAAGGGUGAUGAAGUUAUAAAUAGAGAGUUACACGGGUUGAAAACACGGGUGUGUGACUCUCCAAAGUGUGAAAAUUUUCUAAGUGUUGCAAAAGUUUCAUAUGUUUACGGUUUGGUCCCGAACCACCCUGAAUGUAUGUUUUGGGCCCCGUAGGCCCAUAUAAGGGACGUUAAACAUAUGUAUGAAAGUUUUUAAUUUAGAAGAAAUUUUAUGGCUGAUUUUUACAUGAUUGAUCAUAUUAAGUUCGGUAAUGCCUCGUACCCUAUUCUAAGCUCGAAAUACGGGUAGGGGGUGUUACAGUUGGCAUGAAAGACAAAUGUUUCUCCUUAAACUUUGAUUAAUCUAGUUCAUCAACUUAUACCGAUUCAAUUAAUGAAUUUGAAUUGUGGCAUAAAAGGAUGGGUUACUUUUAUAACAUCCUCAAAUUUUUUAUGUCAAAAUUUGUGUCAUCUCGGUGGUAGAGCUAAUUAAAAAUUUGUAAUUAUAUUAGACUUCAAGAAAGACUCUAAAGACUAACUUGUAAUUAUUUUAAUGUGACACUAAAGAGUGGUAGCAAUGUAAUUAUGUUAGACUUAAUAAAGGCUCUAAGGACUAACUUGUACGAGAAAGUAAAGUAACAUGCCAAAUCUAGAAUGAAUAAGUGGAGAGCUUGGAGAUUUCUUGGACUUAAGUGGCUAGUUGGCAUAGCCUUAAUAAGGAAUUAAACCAAGAUUUGAGUGUAAUUAUACAACUUUGUUAAGUAAGUGAAGAGCUUUAAUACUUUCCGUGAAUUUCCACUAGCUAUUUUAAGGUGUAACUUUGUUCUCAAUUUGGCUCUCUCUCUCUAGCAAAAACUACAUUAUUGAUGCGGUCGUUGAGAGCACCAAAAAUAUCCUAUUCUCUGUAAAAUAACGAAAAAUAAUACUAAAUGUGGAAGUAGGGUCGAAUCCUCAGGAACCGGAUUAUACGGAUACUUAUUUCUCGAAAUCCUGGGCAGAAUCGUGCCCAAGAAAGCUUGCGUUCCUGAAAAAAAUAAAAAACAGAAUUAAAAGUUUUGAUUUGGAAACGAAAAUAAAAUAAAAACAGAAUUUAAAGUUGACUGAAGUUGUGAUUACGAAAAUAAUAAAAAUAAUGAAGAGAGUUAAAGGAAAAGAAAUUCUUAUUGGAAGAUUUCUGCCUCCAGUUGUCUCAUUCCGCCUUGGGUUCAAUUCUCGGCUUUUGGAUGACCCUUCUCGAAUCAAGUAAGCCAGUUAUGGUGGAAAAGGACGCCUACGACCACCAGCUUCAAAGAUUAGACUUAUGAUUUUUAGGGAACCUGACUCUAGCCAGAAAUCUAUGCUAGAUCAACGCUUCUCAAUGGCGAAUCCCACGCCAUUUUGUCUCUUUGGCUCGCCAAUCUCUGACGCAGUAAGUUAACAAACCGACUGUGUAACCCUUCCAAAACACACAAUGCGGCUGCCUUUACAUAUGCUGAAAAGCUUACUUCUUAAGGGCCUUGGACGGAAGCGUCAGCCCGUAGUGCAGAGAAACGAUAAAUACUUGGCGAGAAGGCUAAGUACAUAUUCUAAGCCUAAAGAAUCCUUUUUGGGGAAUGUCAACAACUUUCGGCUAGAUGGGUUUUAGUGGCUCACGAUAGUGGUGGAAAAGAAAAGAAAUAUAAAGAUGGAAAAGGAAUUUUUAUUAAAGGAAAAUAUGGAAAGAAACAAAAGCCUAGAGGAGGAGAGUGUUUACAUAAAAAGAUGAACAACCAAAUAGAGUCAUUUCACCCCCUAUUUAUAGUACUAGGAAGAUAGUCUAAUUUGACUUAAAUUCUAAAAAGAUAAAUAUAUUUAAUUAAAGAUAAUUAAAAUAAAAUCCUAAAAUUAAAUAAUCCUAAUAAUUAUCUUAAUAUUAAUUAUCCUAAUAUAAAAAUAGAGUCUUAUAAAAUAAAAUCUCUUCUUUUUGCAUUUUCAGUCCUUGUGUCUUCUAUGCUUGCACUUUUGGCACAAUCUUUUUCCUCUGUCGCAUAUCAGCCCAUUUUUUCUCCAAAUUCGUAUUUUUGCCCAUUAAUUUUACUUUUGCCUCCAAAUCAGUCUCUAAAAGAUAAAAUAUUAUAUAUAGCAUAAAUUAGCAGGAUCAUACUCAGAAUAAUCACAUAAUUAAUAAAAUAAAAUACGUUAUUCUGGAGUAUUAUCAAAUUACCCCUACUUAGCCCAUGCUUGCCCUCAAGCAUGGUUCCUAUCCACUAUGAAAGUUAGAUUCUGCUAUAAAAGAAAUACCACUCUAAAGUUUCAUAAGAAUUAGUUAGAAAUGCAUAUGAAAAAUAAAGAGAACCCUAAGCUUGCUUUAAGUAAAACAAAAAAAGUUUUCCAAUUAAUACACAUAGAAAUUAAAAUCGAUUUGAAUUAUUUCAUGGAAAUUAGGUAAAUUACUAAACUUACCAAGACACCCUCUUUGUUUCUUCCUUUAACCCCAAAUUUUAUUUAUUUACAUAUUUUUUUUUGCUUUUUCAUUUUCUUUCUUUUUUUUAUUUACUUAUUUAUUUAUGUAUGUUUGUAUGUUGAACUUUUGACGCGAAGAGUGAUAACAGCCAAGCACCAAACCUCGGUUACUCAGCCCAACAUACUUUUUAUUUUUUAUUUUUCCUAAAAUCAUGUGGAACCUUUUGACGCGAAGAGUGAUGACAACCAAGCACCCCACCCCGAUUACUCAGCCCAACACAUUCUAAAGAAUUAAUUCCGGUUAGCAGAGUUUUAACUAUCAUGUCACACAAUCUUUUGACGAGAAGUAGAAUGACAACCCAAGCACCCUACCCCGGUUACUCAGUCAGUCACAUUCUAAGCUGUACUCAUAACCACGAAAAAAUUAUUAACAAUUAAAAGAAAUUUAAGUGUCAAGAGCAAGUUUCAAUAAUCACCUAAUAGCCAUGAACAUAAAUUAAGCAUGCAAUCAUUUUAAAUGUUCACUUUAUAUUAAACUUGAUUAAUUUUACGAAAAGCAAGACAGAGUUAACUCUAUUAAUCACAAUUAUUUUUAGCCUAAUAAAAAUGAAACUGUGGAGAUGACAUCAAUUAUGAAAAAAAUCAUAACUUCCUCAGAAGGCAAGAAUCAUGCUUGUGGGGCAAACAGUAAGCAAUUCCUGGUCAAAAUCUUGGGCUUGAAAAGAGACAGCAUCUUCUUAAAAAAAAUAUGGACAAAAUAGGGUCUCAUCAAACAGUAACAAAAACACAGCAGCAACAUCGACCAAAAUCACAGUAGAAAAUGACAGUAAUAAUUAAGAGUUCCUUCCCCCUACUUAAAACACAUUGUCCUCAAUGUUGACAAAAAGAAAUAAAUAGGUAGAAAGGUUUAGUAAUACUCCCCACGUAGUUUACCGUCGAUCACGCUUGAUGGCAAGGAGUUCGGUGAGUUGCUGGCCAAAUGUAUCAAGUCGAGCCUCAAUGCGCUCUAAGCGUUGCUCAACGGUCAAUGUUGGUUGAGCUUGGGCGGGUGCUUUAUUAUGAGUUUGUUGGCGAAAGACUCGCUCGGAUUGUGAAGAACGAAUACGGGGAGGUACAAAACUGAAUAUGAUGGAGUGCCACGAAGUAAUCCCAUUGAGUCGAGGCAUCGAGCAUCCAAAGGACUAAUGUUUGACUUCCAGGAAAAUGCAGGAUGAACAGAAUUUGCCAACUCACAGGUGAAUCAGGAAUUAUUUAAAAAGAAAAAGGACUAAUGUUAAGUUUGAUACAAAUUUCCCUCGAUUUUCCUCGAUCAGAAACCAAACAGAAUAAAAAGAGAUGAAGAAAAAACAAGAUUUUUUUAAAGAAUCAAAAUUUAUACCUUAAAAGAAACACUAGCACUACCUUGACUCACUCAUUCGGAAGAAGCUACCACUGAUUCAUGAAUUCAAACCUUUUCUUUUCCUUUUUCGAGAGAGAGAAAGAAGCUAAUGACAAUGGAUCUUGAUUGUAAAAUAAAAUAUUUAGAGGGGUAGAGAAAUGUAGUUCCCUUUUCAUGAAUGUCAAGACAAUGAGAGAACAGUGCAAGAUAUAACAAACCUGGUUGGCGUAACUGAUACCCAUGUUUGCCCAAGCACGCACAUAGUUUGGCUUCAAAUAUAGUGCCU